GACCCGCUCUACCCCGGCGGCAGCUUCGACCCCCUGGGCCUCGCCGAGGACCCCGAGGCCUUCGCGGAGCUCAAGGUGAAGGAGAUCAAGAACGGCCGCCUCGCCAUGUUCUCCAUGUUCGGCUUCUUCGUCCAGGCCAUCGUCACCGGCAAGGGCCCCCUCGAGAACCUCGCCGACCACCUUGCCGACCCCGUCAACAACAACGCCUGGGCCUUCGCCACCAACUUCGUCCCCGGCAAGUGAGCGCAGUCAGCUCAACCUCUAGGCCGACAACUUCAUGGCUGAUGGAUGCUGCUGCAUGUGUGUCGUCGUCGAUCUCUGCUUCUUCCCGUUCUGAGAUUGAGUAGUCCGGACUGAUAGAUGUUGCAUGUGAGGGCGAUUCGAGAUGAGGAGUUGGUGUGUGUACACUACAAGAUGGUGUUUGUGUAAUAUCUGGCUAUUUUCUCAGAUUAAUCAAGGCAUCUCUGUUCUUCUGCUUAACUCCUUGGUUUCUCUGAACCUCUGAAUGUCAAAUGCAGAAGUUCUAUGAAUGUUUCUCUGAAAGUCCAAGCAACUAAAGCAUUCAAAUUCAUCAAGACAUUCAUUCCAUCCAUUUCAAGUUUUCAACACUGAUCAACUCAACAAUCCUGUAAAUACAAUUCCAUUUGUAUAUGUAACAAAUACUCUACAAAUCUGGGGUUUCCUACAGUAAAAAAAGUAAAAUGAAACGCUAGGACUAGUGCAACUUCCUUCUGAUGAAGAAGAAAGUUGCAGUUACUACUGUGCUACCGGCCUUGCAGAACGGUCAUGGCAAUGGUGUUCCUGCUGUUCUCGAGAUCGGUUCUCUGGAUCUUCUCUUCCAUCAUUCCGACGUACCCUGGCUGGUUCGGCGCCGGGAGAGACGCCGAUGCCACCACCGACGCGCUUCCGUUCUCCAAGAUGGACACAACGGACGACAUGAGGGGCCUCCUGCUCGGGUCGUCCUCCACGCACAGGAGGCCGACGUGGAUGCAGAGCAAUGCCUCAUCCUGCGAACAGCUCUCUGCCAUGGAUGGAUCCACCAGCUUGACUGCCUUCCCUUCCCUCCACAGGUGCCAUGCCUACAUGAAACAACCAAACCAACCAUCAGGAAUUGUUUUUUUCUUGCUAUUAUGAAUACAGAUACGAUCACAACAUGGAGUACUCCCUCUGUAAAAAAAUAGAAGAGUGUCUAGAUACUUAGAAACUUCAACGGUUUGGUUUGGCAGUACCAGUGAAAAUGCAGGUGCUUACAUAGACUAUCAAGCUAGGGAACUCCAUGAUGCCCUUGGUUGCGCUUAUCCUAACGCCGCUCACGAUCUCCAGCAGCAGCACGCCGAAGCUGUACACGUCGGACUUAACUGAGAAGACACCCUCCGUCGAGUACUCGGGGGCAAUGUAGCCGCUUGUCAACACAUAAUUUUUUUAGUUAGAAGAGGUGUCACAUGUUUUUUUGUCAAAUGCUACUACCAACCUAAGUAAAAAAAAACUCUUUCCCGCCCUGUAAAUGUAUUCAAGUGUUCAAGAUACUCACUAUGUUCCAACGACGCGCUUGCUGUUGGCUUUGACCUGGUUGUCGCCGAAGAUCUUGGCCAUGCCGAAGUCGGCGAUCUUGGGCCGCAUCUCGGCGUCUAAAAGGACGUUGCUGGCCUUGAGGUCCCUGUGUAUCACCGUCAGCCUCGAGUCCUGGUGGAGGUAGAGCAGCCCCCUCGCUACCAACCUUGAUGAUCCCCAGCCUCGUCGGCCAGUCCAGCACAGAUUUCCUCCCUGCCCUGAAUCCUUGCUCAGUCUCUUCACAGCAACCACAUGACCGCCUUCCAACGUCCCCUUCCCAAUGGUAAAAAGAAAAAAACUGGAGUGACCGAGAUCAUGAAUUGCUUUAGUUUGGCGACUGAAUAUUGUGCAGGAGAUUUCAGGCAUAUCCAAAGUUUUAAAUAACCGGAUAUAGUCAUUGAUGUACUUUGCCGAUCGUGGAUCCGAUCGAUUUUUUUCUCUCGCAUACAUAUAGCUCUGGUCUUAUAUGACUUUGCUAUUUGCUGGUGUGUCCUUGUGUGUGUGUCUGUUGGUGUUGGUUACGUGCAUCUUAGUUAUGCAAAGGUUAUGUAUGCUCUUUGGGUUUGUAUCCUCUUGAUGCAGCCAAUAAAAUCCACCCUUUGUCAAACGCUCCAUGAAGGUUGGUUUCAAAAAGAAAAUCGAAAAUGAUAUUAUUUUUAAUUUUGAAGAAAAACUGACAAAAAAUAGACAUGUACAUAGAUAUUUAUAUACUACGUUCAUGUAAAUUUUCAUAGUGAAACAGAUUUUGGUCUAGGCUAUACAAAACAAUCAUGAAUUUUUACGAUGAUUAGUAAAUGUGUUAGAUAUACAUGAUUUUGUCUUUUUUGUGUAGCUGACAUUAAAACAUAUUUGAUCGUGAAAAUUUAUAGAAAUGUCUGAUACAGUUCUAUGUACAUAUGUUUUUUUUAAGAUUUUUCUGAAACCUGAAUAAUGUAUUUAUAUUAUGUUUAUAAAUUCAGGCUCCAUGGAGCCGGAGAUCUGAAAGGCAUUUCCGACUAUAGCCCCGCUAUUCCGUUGCUAUAGUUAAUUUGGAAGACUGACGAUAUUUAAAAUAUCCCGCUAUUUAAAACUACGUGUAUACCUUAUAGACAUUGCCAAAGCCUCCACGGCCAAUCAUGAAUGUCUUGGAGAAGUUGCCUGUGGCGGUGAUGAUGUUGGCAAACUGUAUGCACGGGAACUCAUGGUCUCCGGUGUGAUCUACUUCUCUGAUUUUCGCUCGAUGUGUUCGUGGUCCCGGUCCCAGGCACCAACUUAUUUUGGCUCUCGGUGAAAUUUCUUCUCUUGUCUGUGAAAUUGAUAAUAAUGAUCGAGUAUGACCAAAAGUGAUGUUAUGAUCCUGAGCCCACAUGCCCCCUAGUGAACAAUAAGAACCGGAAAAAUAGUAGAAGAAAUUAGAAAAAAAAAAACAAAAUCCAUACUCCAAAAUGCUUUGAAAAUAGUCUUUUUCAAUCAUCUAUUUUGUUUUUGUUUUUUGCCUGGACCUCCACGAAUAUCAUUCCAUCACAAAUAUUGGCAUCCAGAUGAAACACUCAACAAUGUUUAUCGCACAAAACAAAUUCUGAAUAUUUUGAAUCUUUUUCAAAAAAAAUUGGAUUUUGCUGUUCACCCACCCAGGAGCAUAUGAGCUUGAGAUCAGAAACUCCAUGUCCGAGCAUGGAUGCUUAGAGAAGGGAAGACCAUAUGACUAUACCUCUGAAUCUACGAAACCAUACGAAGAAAAUGCAUGAGAGCAGCAGGGCAGCUGCCAACACCGGCACUGCUAUCUUCACUGCAUUUCUACCUGCACGUUCAAAUACAGGGCAAAAAUUUGAUGAAAAAACACAUUUUGUGGUCUGAAUUCGGUAAAGAUUCAACAGAAUUUUGAGAAAGUUCGGUGGAAAAAAUGCAUAUGUGUCCGCUGUACCUGUGGAAGCAGCAGCAACCGGCACGCGGAGGUAGAGCGUCUCGCCGGGCGCGCCGAUCAUCUGUGCGUCCACGAGCUCCCCUGCCCACACCAGGCACCGGCCCAGUUCACCCGCGUAUGCGUAGGCCACACACGAGCAGCUGGCUGCGCACCUCGCCGCGCACUCCUCCGCGCUCCGGUUGCCUGCGUCGAGCAUGAACUUGUCCGGCACCGUCAUGCUCGGCAUCGACACAAAACCCUCCCGCUCCUGCUUCCGCCGGCACCCCUGCUCGAACCUGCCGGCGCUCCACUCCGCCGCACUCGCCGGCCGAACCCAUCGAGGCACCUGCACGCCGCCGGCGCCGCCGUGACGUCGCAGUACCCGUACGCGCUGCAGUGCCCAUAGCUGCUGCACCCGCUCGACGGCCACGACUGGAGCGUGUCCCAGGCAGACGUGGUGCCGUUCCAGCUGAGAAGCUGGAGGCUGCCGGAGCUGGUCAGCACGUACCGCGUGGGCGUGAAGGUGAUGGCGAUCUCCUCCUCGGUGGCCACGACCGCCGUGUUGACCGUGCCGGCGCUGAUGUAGCUGCUGGAGACGGCGUGCCCCGUCCAGACGGGAUUGCACCAGUAGGGGCGCGUGCCGUUCCACAUGAGCAGCUGCAGCGACGUGCUGGGGUCCAGGCCGUAGGAGAAGCGCCCCGGCGCCGGGUCGCGUGGAGACCUCCAGGGGACGAGCCAGCCAGCCUUGCCCGUGUGGCUCAGCCGCACCUCCAUCCUCGGCAGGAACGUGUCCGUCGGGUGGUCGAAGCUCUGCCACACCACCGUGCCGUCCGGCAGCUGGAUGAGCAGGUUGCCGUCGCGGCCUGCGAGGACGAUCUGCCCGCGCCGGGCGUGGUCCAGAGCACGCGGCCGUCGGCGUCGGACAGGACGAGGCUGAGUCGUUGGCCAGCGUGAGAGUCGGGGUGCUGAACGUGACAGGUCCAUGGAUGAAAUUCAAGGUGCGUCGAGCGACGAGUUUGAAUCGGUCAAUCGGUCGAGAGCGCUUGCGUCUACAUGGGCCGGCCCACCAGCAAUGACGGGUGUGCGCCCGGUACAUUUGCUGGCGCUCAAGGCUGAACGCGCCGUAUAUGAGCCCCCGGUGCUUCCCUCGCCGGCCGACUUGUGGGUCCGUGGUGGCAGGUGUGCUAACACUACCUCUGGAGUCUGGACCGAUCUCUCUCAAAGUGACUUUCACCGAUCCCAGAAACAGACCAGACUGAAACCAUCACGUUUGAGGUCGUGCGCUGCCUGUUGUGUCAAACCCAGUCUACAGGACGCUGCCAUUGCUUGCGCUAGGCUUUAUCUCUACUCCUAUAAAAAUGGGAGUUGGUGAUGAUGGUGUGUCUGCCUUGGUGCAAUCUAUACCGUUCGAUCUGGAAUCUGAGGCUGCGAUUGAGACUUUGUGCCAUCAUUUGAACAAGAGCACGGAUAGCAUGGAGGUUUCUCUCGCCAAGCAGAUUCUUCGAAAACCCUCUCCACAAUUCCUCGUUGCCGGCCCCUACCCUCUCUUUCCCAGCGUCUUUUCUCGGCGACCGCCGGAGUUGAGUUGGGCGAGGGUUCCGUCUCCUGUAUAGCUGUAUUUGUAGUUAAGGUCUUGAUAAAUCUGAUUUGGGUUGAGCUUUCCCCGGCGUCUCUCCUUCCAGAUCUGGCCGUGCAGACCGUCGGAGAGGGAGACAUGGCGGCGGUUGCUUCCUUGUCCAAGUUCCUCACUCUCCUGUCUUUCUACUCCCCAUGAGAACUAUCACCCCAAAACUGAGAUGAGCCCAUCCCCCGCACGAUCGGGCGCGAUCCUUCGUUUCCUCUAUGCCGCAUCAUCCUACGGGGAAAGAUGGCCGUGUUCGUCCAGGCCAGCGCUCCCGGCCACCCGGCAGGAGGUCUAGGUUGCCUUUGCCGAUGCAUCAAGCUGCGGGCGCUCCGCUGGCGCGGCGUGCCCAAUGCAGGUGUACGCCGGGUAUUCCCGUGUUUAUCCGAUGGUAGCGCAAUCACCGGCACAGCGUGUCGCAUUGUCUUCCUCAACGAUUGCCACGGCGCUGCUGUCGUAUUCGACCUCCUCACUUCGCCGCUGUGAUUCUAUCCGCUGGGAGGUACGUGCACAUUUAUUUCAUCCGCAAUUUUGCAUGCGUAUGAGAUUUGCUUAUUUGAUGAACUUCGGUCCUGCAGUAGUUUAAUCAGCUCAUCUUAGAGAUAUAGGCUAAUUCCUAGCUUAACAAUUUACUCCCUCCGUUCCUACAUAUAAGUCUUUUUAGGGAUUUCACUAUGGACUAGAUACGGAUCAAAAUGCGUGAAUCUAUACUCUAAAAUAUGUCCAUAUACAUCCGUAUGUAUUUUGCAGUGAAAUCUCUAAAAAGACUUACAUUUAGGAACAGAGGGAGUAUAAUUUAUCAGGCCAAUUACCUGAUGGGAGACAACCAGACGGGGAGAACGAUUGCUUGAAGAGCCUCGGGCAGUCUGCUCUCACAAGGAAAUGCAAAGGUAAUUUCACAAGAGAAGUGGUGAUGGCGAGGCUCUGCCACGACAACCUUGUUCGCCUCCUUGCGUACUGCAAUGAAGGCGACGAAUGGAUAUCCACUCAUCUAUGGCUACAUGUUGAACAACAUCAUGGAUCUCUACAUAUUUGGUACAUAUACUUGUAUAUUUUUUUCUUGCCUAUGAUCAGAAUUUGGAUCACAGUAGACAAUCAGGUUCUCUUCUAUGAUUGUUGGUUAUUGUUUUCAUGUAGUCCAAUACAUAAGUACAGCUCAUAGCUGCAUGGUUAGAAUUCAGAGAAAAUGUACAUAAAGUUCCAGAUAAUAGAAUUGCAAACUUGGACAAUACCUUUAGAGGAAAUUUGUAUGCUGGACAUGCUUGACCAUGUCAAAGAUCAUGCAUGAGUAAUUAUAUCCUCGGGUUAUUCGUAUUAUCUGCAAAGUGAGCUUCAAAAUUUUGUAAACUAGCAUUUUCAAUAGUUCAGAGCUACUACUUCACUGUCAGUAUUUAGGUGGAUGGUCUCUGUUUUAAAUUCAUGAUACAAGUAAUGCACUUCGUCAAGUUUUAUUUAUCUGUGUCCUUGGUUCCAAUAGCUAUAUAAUUUCUUCGCAAGCACCCAAGUACGGCAACUCUAUUGCCGUUCAUGCUUGGCCUAUGCCCUACAGAGAGGAAUUAGUAUUUGCCUCUUUGUGUCAGAAUGUAGUUGUGUCGCAUGCCUCUUGUAUCAUUUUCAUCGUUGAUAGAUGCAUUACCAAAAUAUCAUUGCAAAAUUUCGUGGUUGCAGUAUUUGUCUUGUUAAUUUUGCAUUCCUCCCUUUUCUCAUAAAGUGUUAAUUCUGUGUUAGUUAUAUCUUAUGUUUUCUAUGUUCAUUGCUUCUGUUGACUUCAGAUUGUGCAUAUGUGGAGAAGCAUGUAUGAUUGCCCUCAGGUUUAGAACAUAUUGCAUAACAAGCCAUUCUCCUUGGCAGCCGACCUAGAAGUGAGGUCACAAUUGACACCCCUUGUCGUCCAACUUCCGGCACUUGAAGUCUCUGUGCGACAAAAUUAUGCUUGCCAUCUGAUCACCUUGCCGCAUGGUAUGUUCAUGGGACAGAGAAUAUGAGAUGCAGCUCCCCAAUGUUUUCACUUCUCCACUCAAAAUUUUCAGGCCACAACCUGAAUAUUUGUUUCCUUGUUGUCUGUCAUCAGCAUUUUUCUUUGCAGAAACCUGGUUAAGGAAGUUACCAGUAGUCCAGUACUAAUAUUUUCGUAUGUAUGUACUUGUGCACUCACCCCUUUUAUAUACAUAUAUGGUUCAAAAAGCAUCUUUUACUUUAUUUUUUGUUUAUUUGCUCAGUACAAAAUGUAGUGCAGUCUAUGAUUUUUUUCCUUGGUCUAAAUAUACCACAGACCCUCUACAGGCUCCUUAUUUUUUUUCCAUUGUCUAAAUAUACUACAGACCGUUUAUAUAUAUGCAGUACUGAUUGCCUAAUGUCCUUCUAGGUGAGAAGAUAGAUUAAGUUGGAGUUCGAGAGCUAAUAUUGUUGGCACAAAUGUUUUGAGCAAACAACUAAAAGAAGGGUAUACUAUGCUUUGCAGAUGGAAAAUGAUUCCACGGCCUCAUAUAUGCCUAUGGUAUAUGUAACUAAGCAUGAAUCAAUUUUUUUUCUCUUCAUGGUGCUAUUGCAUGCAGCAUGCUUGUGCAUAUUUAUCAAAGUAUUCAGUUGAACACUUCUACUUCAUUCUUGUUUGUUCUUGAAAGUGUGCUCAAGCAACAGUAAGUAUGUUAUUUGGAUAUAUUAAUUGUGUGGGCUGGAGGUGGAGCCUGUGUUAACCAAAAGCAGAUUGGUAUUGUAACACUUCCCAAAUGUGUGUGGAUGGAUUUUCUAUUUGUCACAUGCUCUGUCCCCUCAAUUUAGAGAGUAAUGAGAAAGCUGGUUGGAGAGAACAACAAAUCUUCGCCAAGGUAAAAAUGGAGAAGAAAAUAUUUGGCUUGGACAAGGGGGUCAUCGAUCAGAAACCAUAAGUUUGAUUUUUGCUCAAUGCGUACACAUCAACAAUAUAGCAUUACUGUGAUCAAUGUUAUGAUACAUCUUUUUUGUCCACUAUGCUCCUAAGUAAACAAUGUCUACUUGAUUAUUUGUGAUUCCGUAGCGUAGCACUAGCACGGGCAUCUUACUAGUCUGAUAAAAAGACUGAGGUGGAGAAGUAGCUGAGUAGUAUUAGACUUUAUCUAGUCCAAAAGGCUGAGCUGAACUAGUACUACAGUUGGUGUAGUGAAGCUGGCAAGCAUCCCUAUAAAAGGGCAUAUGCAUCCAUCGUUGUAAAUCAUUCCACUCCGAUCAAUUCAACUAGUACUCCUUUCUCAAGUGCAGCUCCAUCCGUGUAUGUUCGCUAGUGUGUGUGCGUACUUGCUAGUGUGCGCAGCGCAAGCAAGUAGUACCAGCACUUAGCUCUUCCACCGGUCAUUCAUCAGGAUAUUAGCUAGCCAGUAGUUUUUGCGCUAACACUGCCAAGGCAUCUCUGUUCUUCAGCUUAACUACUUGUUUCUCUGAACCUCUGAAUGUGUAAUGCAUAACUUCUCUGAAUAAUUUUCAGCGUAAACAUGGUAAAUAUUUCAAUUUCAGCAAGACAUUCAUACCAUCCAUUUCAAGGCUGAUCAACUGAACACUCCUUUAUAUACGUCUUUCAUUUAUAUCUCUAACAAAUGCUCUACAAGUCUGGAGUUUCCCCCAGUAAAAAAACAAAAACUGGAACACUAGGACUAGUGCAGCUUCCAUGUGAAGAAUGUUGCAGUUACUACUGUAUAUACCAUACUACCUGCCUUGCAGAACUGUCAUGGCCAUGGUGUUCCUGGUGUUCUCGAGAUCGCUUCUCUCGAUCUUCUGUCCCAUCAUUUCGAAAAAACCAGGCUGCACUGGCGUUGGGAGGGAUAGUGACACCGUCGACGAUGCACUUCCGUUCUCUAAGAUGGACACGACGGAGGACAUGAGUGGCCUCCUGCUCGGGUCGUCCUCGACGCAGAGGAGCCCGACGUGGAUGCACAGCAAAGCCUCAUCCUGUGAACAGCUCCCUGCCAUGGAUGGAUCCACCAGCUUACCUGCCUUCCCUUCCCUCCACAGGCUCCAUGCCUACAUGAAAAAAAGUAUCAUAUCAACCAUUUGUGUGUUUUGUGUAUGUGUGUUUGAAGAUGAAUAUGAAUUUAGGCAUGACAUGGACUGAACUGAAAAAGGAAGGAAGGUAACUGCAAAAAUUGGCGUGGCAAUGCCAUUUUUAGUUCAGGGUCGUACAUAGACUGUCAGGCUGGGAAACUCCAUGAUGCCCUCGGUUGUGCUUAUCCUGACGCCGCUCAUCAUCUCCAGCAGCAGCACACCAAAGCUGUACACGUCGGACUUGACAGAGAAGACUCCCUCCGCCGAGUACUCGGGAGCAAUGUAGCCACUGUCCACAAGUUUUUUGUGUUGUCAGAAGAGACGCCGAAUUUUCGGUGAAAUGCUAGCUUGGUACCAACUUUAAAAAUAUGCUUUUAUUUCUGAAAAUCCAGUUAAGUGUUGAGGUUACUCACUAUGUCCCGACAACGCGCUUGGUGUUGGCUUUGACUUGGUUGUCAGCGAAGAUCUUGGCCAUGCCAAAGUCGGCGAUCUUGGGCCGCAUCUCGGCGUCCAGCAGCACGUUGCUGGCCUUGAGGUCCCGAUGUAUCACCGUCAGCCUCGAGUCCUGGUGGAGGUAGAGCAGCCCCCUGGCCACACCCUUGAUGAUCCCCAGCCUAGUAGGCCAAUCCAAGGCUGAUUUCCUCGCACUGUCUGCAACAAAUGCCAUACACAACUUCAGGAACCAUGUAAAUAGUUUCAUUAACUUGCUUGUGUAAAAACUUGAUGAGCGGCUUCUGUCAAGAGUUUCAUUAACGUGGACAUCUGAACAUUAUAUGUACCAAAGAGAAUGGCGUUGAGGCCCUUGUUGGGCAGGUACUCAUAGAUGAGAAGUUUCUCGGCCUCCUCGGUGCAGCAGCCGAGGAGGCGGACCAGGUUCCGGUGCUGCAACUUGGCGAUCAGAAUGGCCUCGUUCUUGAACUCCUCUGCUCCCUGGUCCGAGUCCUUGCUCAGCCUCUUCACAGCGACCACCUGACCGCCGUAUAGUGUUCCCUUCCCAAUGGUAAACAGAAGCAAGUGGACCGAGUGAGAUCAUGAGUUGCUUUAGUUUGGCGACUGAAUUUUGUGCAGGAGAUUUUAGGUGACUAAAUUUAGUACCUUGUAGACUUUGCCGAAGCCUCCGCGUCCGAUCAUGAGUGUUUCCGAGAAGUUGCCGGUGGCCGCGACGAUGUCGGUGAGCCGUAUAGAGGGGAACUCAAGGUCUACCGUGUGAUCUCCUUCGAUUUCGCUCCAUGUGUUUGUGGUUCCCGUCCCGGGCAUUAGCUUCUUCUGGCUCACGGUUUUCUUUCUCCUAUCUAUGCAAGAUGUUGUGAGCAACUUUUUCUAAGAAUGAUUGAGCAUUUGAGCAUGUCACGUUUAGCGGUAAGAGGAAAUUACUGUACCUCUGAAUCUCCACAACCAUACAAAGAAAAUGCAUGUGAGCAAUAGGACAGAUGCUGGCACCGGCAGUGCUAUUUUCACUACAUUUCUGCUGGACUUUCCACCUCUGUUCGGCAGGGCUAACACCGGCACUGGCAAAUUGGUUCGGUUUGAUUAAACAGACGAAGUUCGGCAAAAAAAUAAAAAAAAAUUAUGUUUCUGCUGUACCACCUGUGGAGGCAGCAGCAACGGGCACGCGGAGGUAGAGCGUCUCGCCGCCCCAGCCGAUCAUCUGCGCGUCGACGAGCUCCCCUGCCCACACGAUGCACCGGCUCACGUCCCCCAUGGCGCUGCUGCUCUGCAGGUUGGCGUACGCCAUGCACGAGCAGUUGGCGGCGCACCUCGCCGCGCACUCCUCCGCGCUCCGGUUGCCGGAGUCGAGCGAGAACUUGUCCGGCACGUUCAUCGUAGGCAUCGCUAUGAAACCCACUCCUAUGCUGCCGCGUCCGCACGGCGGCAGCGCCUCCUUCCGCCGGCACCCUUGCUCGAAACUGAAAGCUGUCCACUCCGCCGGACUCGCCGGCUCGAAGCCAUCGAGGCACCUGCACGCCGCGGGAGCCACCGUAACGUCGCAGUACCCGUACGCACCGCAGUCCCUGUACGUGCUGCACCCGCUCGUCGGCCACGACUGGAGCAUGUCCCAGGUCGACGCGGCGCCGUCCAAGCUGAGGAGCUGGAACCUGCCGGAGCUGGUCACCACGUACCGUGUAGGCGCCGCGCCACUGGAAACGGUGAUGGCCACGGAGAUCUCCUCCUCGGUCAGGACGAUCGCCGUGUAGAGUAUCGUGCCGGCGCUGACGUACAUGCUGGUCACGGCGUGCCCCGUCCAGACGGGCGUGCGCCAGUAGGGGCGCGUCCCGUUCCACAUGAGCAGCUGCAGCGACGUGCGGGGGUCCAGGCCGUAGGAAAAGCGCCCCGGCGCCGGGUCGCCGGAGGAUUUCCAGGACACGAUGCGGUCGCCCUUUCCCGUCCGGCGGCUCAGCCGCAUCUUCAUCCCCGGAAUGAACGUAUCCGUCGGGUGGUCGAAGCUCUGCCACAACGCGGGGCCGUUCGCUCGCUGGACGACCAGGUCGCCCUCGUUCGUCAGCACGGCCGCUGCCGGCGCCUGUGGUGAUGAACUGACCGCGACGGUCGUGUUCCAGAGCACGCGGCCGUCGGCGUCGGACAUGACGAGGCGGGAGUCGUUGGCCAGCGCGAGCGUCGGGGCGCUGGCGGCCGGGGCGCCCCGGUUGGCCACCCAGACGACGGUGCGAGGCCCGGGGAUGCCGUUGUACCAUAUGCCAAGAUACCGUCUCGCCGGGCCAGCGGCGUCGUCUGGGGAGAAGAAGCCGAGAGCGAAGGCGCCGCCGUCGGACACGAGGGACUGUCCGGCCAGGAGCUUCUCCCCCACGGCCAGCUGGUCCUUGGCGGACGCGCACAGGAGGAAGAAGGCGACGACGAGGACGAGGACGGCAGAACGUGACCGGUCCAUCGAUCAACUUCAAGGUGCGUGCAACGAGAUCAUCAGGAGACUUGAUUUUCUACUCCCGGGGCACCUACACAAAGCUAGCUAUUUACUCACUCCGUCUCAUAAUAUAAGAGUCAGAAUAUAAGAGCGUGCAGUGUAAAAAAACACUCUUAUAUUAGAGCAUCUUCAACAAACGCGCGAUAGCAUGGCGCGUUAAAAAAGUUUCGCAGCGCUGAAAUAGUGUUUUUGCGCGUGACAGGUUUACCAGACGCACGAGAACACACGAGCACAAGCCGGCGCCUCAAAUUUGCAGCCCCAUAGCCAUCAUGCGCUAAAUUUACGGCUCCGUUUUUGUGUGUGCUCUAUUUUACAACUUAUGUUGAAGCAUCGUUGUUUGUCGCGGGCAUAUUUUCCAGCGCGCGGCUUGUAUAGCGCGAGAUGCUCUUAUAAGACAGAGAAAGUAGCUACGGCCUUGACGUUUCUCUUGGCGGUACGAACGUGAUCAUUCUUGUCCGAAAGGCGAUGUCGCCAUUGUAGCUAACCCGACGGUCACAGGCGGAGCUCCCGGUAGGGCGAGGCAGGGCGCCCGCCCUACCUUGAUUUUGUGCAGAAAGAUUAGUACAUGUAGUCAUACGCUGUCGCUGGCCGGUUCUAUGUGCGUGGAGUCACGUUCGCUAGAAAAAAGAAGACUUGCUGCUGCUGCUGUGCAUCCUUCGCUAAGCGGGAACUAAGAAAGCAAUCAAGCCCAUCCCAGUUGAUCAAGCCGCACGCACCAGUUUCCCUCAAAAAAGAAAAAGGUGCACGCACCAGUACAUGCUAUCUCUCUCUCUCUCUAAAAAAAAAAGUACACCAUGCCAUCACACGGAGAGCUAUAAAUUUCUAUAAUUUCAGCCUAAAAAAAAUAUAAAUUUCUACAUUUUCAUGUUGUGAAUUUAUGAUGUAAAUUUUCAUAGUAGCUUCACAAUCUAGAUGGCAUUAAAGCUUCAUUAUCCAUUUGUUUUCAGGUCUACUUAAAUAUGCUUGCAUUCCCAUUGUAUUUGAAUUAGUUUAAAAUCAUGUAAAAUUAUCAGAGCAUAUUAUUAUUGUGUAUAUGCUAUUUGAUAUUUCAUCAAAUUAUAUAUCACUCCCUCCGUCCCAUAAUAUAAGAGCGUUUUUGACACUACACUGGUGUAAAAAACAUUCUUAUAUCAUGUGAUGGAGGGAGUGGUCAGUGUUCGCCCCACCUUAAACUUUUUUCGUCCUCCGCCACUGCCGACGGUGACGCUACUUUGCGAGUUCAUAUUGACUAAUUUCAGCAUGCACCCAGGUGAACUAGUCUUAGUCUGGUCUACUAUGUGUGCGCGUUUUACCUACGCGCUAGUGCAUAACUCGACCUACCUUGCCCAACAACGGCAGUUUUUUUUAACACAUUACAAUCACAAUUGCUCACGAAUAUGCACAUUGCAUCCUAUCCGCAGAGAUUUUUUUUUCUGCAGUGGAAUCAGAAAGAUGUAUUCGACCAAACGUAUUAUCUCGACAGUCAGCCAAGAAGCCACUGAACAUAAAGCUAAACAAAAUGAGAUCCAUGGGCACUAAUACCCAUGACAUACUCGUUAUAGAAUAAGCCCACCCAGGUGAGAUGAGAUCGCGGAAAUUCGCCCCCACGGGCGACGGGAGUGGAACCUGCAAGGUAGCACCAAUGUGCCCUCGCCACUGAACAGAAAUCUAGAAGGUUCGAUCAGCCAACUCUCGGUCACAUUCAAUUAUGCCAUUAAUAAAUAAGAUAAUUAAUAAAUAAUGAUGAGUUGGAACUGGACCGCGACAAGUUUACACCCACACUGUAAUUAAUAAAUAAGAUAAUACCCCGCGCGUUUUCGUGGGAAUUGGUCGAUAAAUUUUUGGGUUGACAAUAUGAGGAUGAAAAUUAAAAAUACAUAUGACUUAAUAUAUUUCGUCAUGUAUACUUGUAAAAUAUUUAUUGAAUAUAUGUACAAUAAUUGAACAGAAAACAUUUCCCCUUCGUUGGUUUAAUGUUGUGUUGUGGUGGAUCUUUUCACAUGCAUAGUUUUCCAUACAUUUUUUCUAAAAUAUAGCAUACAUUUUUCUGAAUGUAUGAUUUUUUUUAAAUUAGGCAAAUAUUUUUUAGCAUUGUAUAAACAGUUUUCUUAGAUGUCACGUAUAUUAUUUUUAAAUGCAUGACCUUUUUUUUAAUGUCAAAAUAAUAAUUCAUACGGAUGAUCAACAUUCUUUAUACACGUUUAACAUCUUUAAAUUCAUGAUUAACAUUUUUUUAAUUUUACAUAAAGUGUUUUUGGUAUUAUAUAUUUACACUAUUUCAAAAUAUAAGGCAAAAACAAAAAUAUAAAUGUGAAGAAAAAACUUGGGUGGCGGCAACAUGACACGACCAUGUGGUUACUGGGCCGGCCCAACAAUGGCUUCAGCAUGGGACCUUGUGCUAGAGUCGCUACAAUACCUCAUGGUCUUUUUUUUUUUGAGAAAAGGCCAUCAUGGCUAGCUUUAUUACGAUUAAAUAGUAGAUACAUCGUCUACGAGCUUGCUGACCAAAACACAGGUGGCUCGUGCAACCAAAAAGAAGAGAUCUUAUUACAAUAACUAUGAUUCGCUAGCACAUGAGCUGCUUGAUUAGCAGACCGAUAACAAUGUUUAUAGACGACCUUUCCUAUAGCCGUAGCCAUAUCCACACACUCCGCAAAGAUUGCCGUAGCUGCAUCCCGCCAUCUGGAUUGUCCGGUACAAAAGUUGAUCACCUGCAUAGAAUCAGACUCCAGCUCAAGGCGACUGUAUCCGAGAGAAUUAGCUAGCUCAAGUCCAUCUUUCAUGGCCAUCACGUCGGUUGUGACUACGUCAGCUGCAAAAGGGACAAACCUGCAUUUGGCAGCAAUAAAAUUACCAUAUGCAUCUCUUAGAAUAGCUGAGAUCGCUCCCAUUCCCUCUUCCUCAUAGAACGCUGCGUCCACAUUUACUUUCACAAAAUUUGAAUCAGGUUUACUCCAUUUUCUGUCUUGUGUUCCACUUGGCUUAGAGAAGGCUUUGUGAUAAUUGCUUGCAAUCGCUAACACUGAUAUGGGCCAACAGAUAAUCAGAGGGACUGUCUCAUUAUGCGUAAUGCGUCGCCUAAUCCACCAUAAAUACCAGCAAGCCACUGCCACAACCUGCUUAAAAUUCAGAGUUGGUUCGAGCACCAUUGGGAUAUUCGACAAGUCACUAGUAGAAAACAGGCCUUACAUUUGGGCCAGAUAAGCCCAUUAGUCCCGGUUCAGUCAUGAACCGGGACCCAUGGGCCCAUUGGUCCCAGUUCGUGAGGCCAGGAGGUCUGCCAGGCCUCGUGGGGACAUUGGUCCCGGUUCGUCGGGCCCCUUUGGUCCCGGUUGGUGGGACGAACCGGGACCAAUGGGCCUCGCUCCUGGCCCACCACCAUUGGUCCCGGUUGGUGGCCUGAGCCGGGACCAAAAGCUGCCCUUUACUCCCGGUUCAUGCCACGAACCGGGACCAAUGAACCGGCCAGGGGAGAGGGCUUUUGUGUGUAAAACAUUAAAAGCAAAAAGAAUUUUCAUAAAAUAAAUAAAAAAGCAAAAAGAAAAGAAAAUAAAUAAGUAGAAACAAAAUAAAAUAAAUAAGUAGAAACAGAAAAAACUUUAAUAAAUAAGUAGAAACAAAAUAAACUUUAAUAAAGUAAAAUAAAUAAAAAUAGCAACAGUAAGUAGAAACAAAAUAAAAUAAAUAAAGCAAAAAAGAAAUANNNNNNNNNNNNNNNNNNNNNNNNNNNNNNNNNNNNNNNNNNNNNNNNNNNNNNNNNNNNNNNNNNNNNNNNNNNNNNNNNNNNNNNNNNNNNNNNNNNNNNNNNNNNNNNNNNNNNNNNNNNNNNNNNNNNNNNNNNNNNNNNNNNNNNNNNNNNNNNNNNNNNNNNNNNNNNNNNNNNNNNNNNNNNNNNNNNNNNNNNNNNNNNNNNNNNNNNNNNNNNNNNNNNNNNNNNNNNNNNNNNNNNNNNNNNNNNNNNNNNNNNNNNNNNNNNNNNNNNNNNNNNNNNNNNNNNNNNNNNNNNNNNNNNNNNNNNNNNNNNNNNNNNNNNNNNNNNNNNNNNNNNNNNNNNNNNNNNNNNNNNNNNNNNNNNNNNNNNNNNNNNNNNNNNNNNNNNNNNNNNNNNNNNNNNNNNNNNNNNNNNNNNNNNNNNNNNNNNNNNNNNNNNNNNNNNNNNNNNNNNNNNNNNNNNNNNNNNNNNNNNNNNNNNNNNNNNNNNNNNNNNNNNNNNNNNNNNNNNNNNNNNNNNNNNNAAAGUUAUUCAAAAACUAGUGAUUCACAUAAAUUUCAAAAAAUUCAAAUUUAAACUAUUCAAAUUGGAAAACAAAUGGCACUAACAGAAAGUUUAUAAUUUUUAUUACCUAAAAGCAAAAGGAACUAAAAAAUAAAGCAAAAACAAAAGAAAAUAAAUAAUGCAAAAAAAAGGAAAAAACUGGGAAAAAAAUGCCACCUACUGGGCCACUACGGCCUGAAUACGACUAGAAACCCUACCAUGGGCCAGGAUUCAGGCCCGCAGAAGGUCCAGUAGGCCCAACAGGCAUAGCAGUGACAAUUAGGCCCGUAAGCCUGCAAUCGAGAGGAGCUCGAGAGGGAUGCGACAGUGGGGCUUAUAAACCACUACUCGCCCCUCUCAACUAGCGAGGUGGGACUAAAGUUUUGGUCACGGGCAGCACGAAGCCUUUGUCCCGGUUGGUGGCACCAACCGGGACUAAAGGUGGGCAUUGGUACCGGUUCGUGGCACCAACCGGGACCAAUGCCACCCUUUAGUCCCGGUUGAUGCCUGCUGAAAAGAGGCCUUUGGUCCCGGUUGGUGGCACCAACCGGUACCAAAGGGGGGCAUUGGUCCCGGUUGGUUCCACGAACCGGGACUAAAGGCUUUGGUAUAUAAGCAAACACUUGUGAAAAUUUCACUUCUCAUCUCGCAGUUGCCGCUCCGACGACGCCGGCGACAUCGACACCGCCAGGCUGCCCCAACGCCGCCCGGCGCCCCCGCCGNNNNNNNNNNCGUGCCCCUGUCCCGACGCGCCGCCCCACGCCCCCGGCCUGCCCCGACCACACGCCGCCGCCACGUUCGGUCCGGCCGGCUUCCUCUCUGUUUUUUUUCCAGAUUUUUUGUUCAUAUAUAUGAUGAUUUGUUUUUUGCAUUUUUAUAAAAAUUUAUAUAUGUAUGUAUGUUUUCUGUGUAUAUAUGUUCAUAUAUGAAAAAGUUAGAUUUUUAGAAAAAAUUUAUAUAUGUAUGUUCUCUGAUUUAGUGCAUUUUCGUUUAGUUUCAUUUUUAGAAAAGUUUUAUAUAUUUAGGAAGAAGGAAGAGAAGGAAGAAGGAAGAAGAAGAAAAAGUUUUAUAUAUGGAAUAGUUACGUUUUUAGAAAAAAUUUAUAUAUCUAGCAAGGAAGAAGGAAGAAGAAAAAAAACUUUUAUAUAUGCAAAAGUUACAUUUUAGAAAAGUUUUAUCUAGGAAGAAGGAAGAAGGAAGAAGAAGAAAAAGGAAAAUAAUAAGAAGAGGAAGAAGGAGAAGAAGAGGAGAGGAAGAAGAGGAGAAAUAAAUAAGAAGAGGAAAAAAAUAGGAGAAGAAGAAAGGAAUAGAAGAGAAGAAGAAAAAAUAGAGUAAUUUCUAUUUUUUUUCUUCUUCACCUCUAUUCCUUUCUUCUUCUCCUUUUUUUCUUUUUUCUUUUUCUUUAUCGGGUAUGUCGUUGUCGAUAUACCACCUCCCCGAUAACUUCGACAUGGGGGGGGGUCGAUAUACCACCUCCCCGAUAACUUCAACAUGAGGGGGGGGGGUCGAUAUACCCCCUCCCCGAUAACUUCGACAUGAGGAGGAAUAGAGGGUCGAGGGGUCGAGGGUUCGAGGGUCGUCGAGGGUUAGAGGGUUGAGGGGUCGAGGGUUCGAGGGUUCUAGGGUUCUAGGAAUAUGCAAAAGUUAGAAUUUUUAAUGUUCAUAGAAUUUUUUUGGUGAUAUUAUUGUCGAAUAUGCAAAUGUUUGUAUGUUCAUAUGUAAAGAAUAUGUCAAUUUUUUUGUAGUAGAUGAUGAUGAUGAUGAUCUAUGAAAACUUGGUCAAUUUUUUCUAUUAAAACUCGUAUUAAGUUUGUUCGAUGAAUGUUUCAUGGGAGAGAGGGAGUAAAAACUCAUCAGACAUGAGGGUGGAGGAGUCCCCCUCCGGUUCCUAACUCUCUUAGGAAUUCAACAUAUAUUCAACAUGAGGGGGUGAAAGAUCGUGGAUGUCGCCUAGAGGGGGGGGGGGGUUGAAUAGGCAUAAUUACGGUUUAGGUAUGAACAAAUGCGGAAUAAACCUAGCGGUUAAUUUGACAAGCACAAAACCUACAACAACUAGGCUCACCUAUGUGCACCAACAACUUAUGCUAAGUAAGAUAAACAACUAAGUAAUAGCAAGAUAUAUGACAAGAAACAUAUGGCUAUCACAAAGUAAAGUGCAUAAGUAAAGGGCUCGGGUAAGAGAUAACCGAGGCACGCGGAGACGACGAUGUAUCCCGAAGUUCACACCCUUGCGGAUGCUAAUCUCCGUUUGGAGCGGUGUGGAGGCACAACACUCCCCAAGAAGCCACUAGGGCCACCGUAAUCUCCUCACGCCCUCGCACAAUGCAAGAUGCCGUGAUUCCACUAAGGGACCCUUGAGGGCGGUCACCAAACCCGUACAAAUGGCAACCCUUGGGGGCGGUCACCGGACCCGUACACUUUGGCAACCCUUGGGGGCGGUCACCGGUACCCGUCAAAUUGCUCGAGGCGAUCUCCACAACCUAAUUGGAGACCCCGACGCUUGCCCGGAGCUUUACACCACAAUGAUUGAGCUCCGAACACCACAAACCGUCUAGGGCGCCAAAGCCCCCAAGAGGAACAAGCUCAAGGGUACCAAGCACCCAAGAGUAAUAAGCUUCUCAACUUGUAACUUCCACGUAUCACGUGGAGAACUCAAACCGAUGCACCAAAUGCAAUGGCAAGGGCACAUGGAGUGCCCAAGUCCUUCUCCCCCAAAUCCCGCCAAAUCAACUAAUGCUAGGGAGGAAAAUGAGAGGAAGAACGAAGAAGAGAACAUACAGAACUCCAAGAUCUAGAUCCAAAGGGUUCCCCCCACAUAGAGGAGAAAGUGAUUGGUGGAAAUGUGGAUCUAGAUCUCCUCUCUCUUUUCCCUCAAAACUAGCAAGAAUCCAUGGAGGGAUUGAGAGUUAGCAAGCUCGAAGAAGGUCAACAAUGGGGGAAGAACACGAGCUCAAAGGAUAAGGUUCAUUGGGGAAGAAGACCCCCUUUUAUAGGAGGGAAAAAAUCCAACCGUUAUGUGCUUAGCCCGCACACGAGCGGUACUACCGCUCGGGCGGAAGAAGUAGGGAAAAGGAGGAACAAAACAUGAACCUUGGGGCGGUAGUACCGCUUAUAAGCAGUACUACCGCUCACCCUAGCGGUACUACCGCUGGGGGAGCAGAACACGGGACCAAAAAGAGACAGGGCAAAGCAGAGUACGGCGACAGUAAUGCAAUAGCGGUACUACCACCCGACCGGAGCGGUACUACCGCCCAAUCGGGGUGGUACUACCGCUUAUAGGCGGAGCUGCCAUGCCUUACUGCCGUGCAACUACUGCUAAACCCGACACGAAAAGUGCAAGACCCAAAAUCGAGGCGGCAGUAGAGUGGUACUGGAGCGGUACUUCCGCUUGACGCUACAAGCGGUACUACCGCUGCCACCGCGGUACCGCAGGGAGAGAAACAGAACUGCCAUAACUUCUUCAUAUGAGCUCUGAAUUGAGCAAACUCAAGCUUGUUGGAUAGAGGAAGACUAAUGGUUAUAGUAAGAAGAGGCAGGGGAUGUAUGCCUAAAAUAUAGAGGAGAGAAACCUCCAACCGAGAAGAACCGGCAUAACCUCCAACAUCGAAAACAUCAUAGAAUAUGCAAGUGAACUCCGUUUUCGAUGAACUCGAGCUUGUCAUGAAAAUGACCAUAAGCUCCAAAUCUCACAAGGAGAAGAACCAAACAAGAACCAAUAAAGAUGAUGCAAGGAUGCAAUGGUUUGAGCUCUCUAUGAACGAUACGAUCAAGCUACUCAUCGAGAGCCCCCUUGAUAGUACAACAAUCGAUCCUAUAACCCGGUCUCCCACAACUACCAUGAGACCGGUAAAAUAGAAAACCUAUCAAGGGCAAACCUUUACCUUGCACAUGGUUCACUUGAGCUAGAUGAUGACGAUCUUGAAUCCCUCAAGUUGGACCACCUUUCUUGAUUGCGUUGGCUCGAUCAAGACUGGUUGAUUGCUCCCCCAUACUCCACUAUGGGUGAGCCACUCUUCCGCACAUCUUCACAAGUCCAUUGUCACCACAAUGGACGGCAAGCUUCAAGCAUUUGAUCUCUUCGUGAUGCUUCACUUGAACUUGCACACCACAACCUAACCCCACAAAGAACUCUCACGAAGAUCAUGGGUUAGUACACAAAGCGUAAUUGACAAUGCUUACCAUACCAUGGGAUCGCUUGAUCCCUCUCGGUACAUCUUUUACGCUUUGUGUGUUGAUCAACUUGAUUCACUCUUUGACUUAGUCUUGAUCAACCUCUCACAUGACUAAUCUUUAGGUAAUUCCUUGAAUGGCACCUUGGUCAUCACAAACUCUCCUUGAAACCAACAAAUGGACUCCAAGAAAAGCCUAUGGACAAAUCCUUCAAAUAAAACUCAAGGCAACCAUUAGUCCAUAGAGAUUGUCAUCAAUUACCAAAACCACACAUGGGGGCACCGCAUGUCCUUUCAGGGGGGGUCGAUACCCCCUCCCCGAUAACUUCGACAUGAGGGGGGGGGGUCGAUAUACCCCCUCCUUGAUAACAUUUUUUCCCAUGUAUGUAUGUCGUCGUUGUCGAUAUACCCCCUCCUUUACCAAGUUAAAAGAGCGUUGUCGUCGAGGCCACCCUGAACCCUUUAAGCGUUGCCGAGGCCACCCCAUACCCUAGAGAAGUGUCGAGGCCAUUAAUUAAUAUAAUUCCUUGUUGUGAAUAGCUAUAGCUAGGUCUACAUUUGCCACUAAUAUAUCCAUCUGUCAUGUUUGUAUAAUAAUUGCCAUGCUGUAAUAUUUGCAGAAACUAUGGAGCACGGCCGAGACGAGGAAGCAGAACGGGUGUUGGGGGACAUAAUCGCAGCCGGAGCUGAUGUCAUGUCGUAUCUCAACGAAACCGAUGGUAUGGAAGCAGAGGGUGAAGAAGCAGGCUACGGUUAUCGAACAACGGAGGAGGAAGGACAUGAUUAUGAUGGCUCCGGUGACCGAAUGUCGGUGCAAGAAGGAGGCCGUGACGACGUCUCCGAUGACCGAACAGAGUCCGGCCAGGUAUAUAUAUUAAUUAAGCCUGUGCUGACUAGCUAAUUGAUGCAUUCAUUGUUUUGGUAUCUACACAUAUUAACUCUCGUCUUUCUUCUUAUUUCUAGCCCUCCCGAUCGAGCACAACUUCGGUAAAGAGACGAGGCCCGAAGAAAAAAUUGCGCUCAGAUGAAAGGUUCACGAUCAUAGCAAUCGCGCGCGAUGGCCAACCGAUUGAACCCCACCGGACCAAGGAGGCAUUUACUGCUCAGUGCGGGGUUCUUGUUAGGGACAUGAUCCCGAUCAGCAUCGAGCUAUGGAAUCAGCCUAAGGAUGAAGAGCUUCAAGUUUCUUUUGUCGAAGAUAGACAGAAAGAUGAUCUUUGGAAAGCGCUGAAGGUAAAUUUCACCCUACCGGAAGAGGAGGAUCCGGAGAAUCCAGUUAAGGAGCCAACGAUCAAGUCCUUUGCGUUCAAGAAGAUGGCAGAUCUAUUCAGGAGGUGGAAGAAUGAGCUGAAAGCAAAGUUUGUCGACAAAAAUAAGACACCAGAAUUCGUCGGCCGAUUUGAGAAGCUCAGAGAUCAAUGGGACGCAUUUGUGGCCAACAAGACAUCGGAGAGGAGUAAGAAGAUGUCAGCGAUAAACAAGAUAAAUGCUGCGAAGAAGGAGCAUCACCAUCGCACGGGGUCAGGUGGCUACCUCAAAGCCCGACCGUUGUGGGCCAAGGCGGAGAACGACCUGCUUGAUAAAGGGUCGAACCAGAGACAUUGAACUGGCCAGACCGUUGCUGGACUUGGUUCUUUGGGGUUGGCGGAACCUUGGACCCUGUAACAGGGAAGUGCGUUUGGACGAGGGAGCAAUUGUGAAUACCCCUCACGAAGCUUCAGCACUAUAUUAAUGCAGUGCAGGUAGGGACGCUCGUUCCAGACAGAGAAAAGGACGAGCUCACAAUGGCCCUCGGGAAUCCUGAGCACCCUGGACGGACACGAGGCACGCCAGGCUCCGUUCCGUGGAAGGCUGGGUUUCCGGACGCGGGCGGUUACAAAUGCCAAGAGAGGAGGAGGAAGGUGGAGCAGAGCGAACUGGAGGAGCUGCACGCAAGGGUAUAGAAGCUAGAGGAACGAGAUGCAGUUCGAAGCAAGCGACAUGCCGAAGCUACCCCGCCAUCUCAGCGGAGAAGCAGCGUGGCUUCCACCGAGCUGCUUCAGCUGGAGCCUGUCUUCACGGCUCCUGCUAGCUACCCCGUGGAUACUAUCACGGAGUCUCAACAUUGCCACCUUAUGACGCAAUGGCAGAAGUUCAAAGUCAAGGCGGCUGUCGGCUCUGUUAGACCUCCUGAACCCGGUGCAACUUUUCACUGCCGUCCAAUUCCAGAAGGAUAUGCUAGGGUGACGGUGGAAGAAAUAGCGGAGGGAUUUGAGGAGCUCGUGCUUGACCACCCUACCGGUGAAGGGGAGACUUGGCUAGGUUCUGCUUUGCAGACUCCAUGCCUAUGGCGGAAGGAGCUCAACAACCUUCCGAACUGGACGCCUCCGCCUCCUCCUCCUCCACCGGCGAGUCAGGGCACUCCGCCUCCUCCUCCGCCUGCUCCUCCGACGAGUGAUCAGGGCACUCCGCCUCCUUCUCAGGCGCGUGGCGGCACUCCGCCUCCUCCUCCGCCUGCUCCUCCGGCAAGUGAUCAGGGCACUCUGCCUCCUUCUCCGGCGUGUGGCGGCACUCCGCCUCCUUCUCCGCCUGCGCCGGCGCCCGACCAGCCAACCUCCUCCUUCUCCGCCUCGUCAGCAAGGGCGGAAGAGACCAGCCGCCGCUCCGGCUGCUCUGGCGCAUCGUAGUCCUUCUCCUCCGCCUCGUAAGCAACUAAAGAAGAAAGCCGCAGCCGCUCGGCCUGCUCCGGCGUCUAGCAGUACAGGCGGGAGGCAUUACAGAUUCGGUCCAUCUCUCGAGACUCCAGAGAAGUUACCAUACGAGAUGACCGAGAAGGAAAACGAGGAGAUCUGUCAAGCCCAAGUGAAGGACUACUUCGCAACGCAAAGAGCUAAGAGACAUCCACCUCCGGAGGAGAAGAUAGAUCCGGUGAAAGCGAAGCGCACUUUGGAUGCCCUGCAGCGACCACCAUCGUCUCCGCUGCAAACCAACUAUGAGCGCAUUACUGAAAAGACAUAUAAGGAAGCGAAGCAGUCGGGAAGUACUUGCAGUGACAAAAGGUUACAAGAACGAAGAACUGGGAAAAAAAUUCCCCAGCUCGGCGAACAAGCGAACCAAUCGUGCCCCCCGCUCAAGGUGUCUAGCGAUAUCGUCGCUAAUCAUCCGAGAAUCUUGCCCAGUACCAAUCCUGGAGAUUACGACGAUGUACAUUUUGAUAUAAUGGAGGUGGACGAAUUCAAAUACGAGUACGGGAAGCCUCUCGUCAAAGAUGGAACUACUCUAACAACGAUGAUGCGAAGAUUCCAUGAUUGGUACAUGGAAACCUGCAGAAAGCAGUCAGCUGGGAAGAAAAUCGAUACUUUAACGCUGAAAGUUAAAGAGGAUCAACAUGACCUCAUUGGAAUUGAGGAGUUGUCUGUUCCAUUUGAGGAGUUCUUCCAGUUUUUCAAUCUAAAGGCCCUCGAUAAAUUAACGGUCACUUGCUACUGUCUGUAAGUACUACUUCUGUCAUUAAGUCUCUAUAUAUAACUCAGCUCUUUCAUUGCAUGUAUAUAUAAUUAUUCUCACUAUAUUAUGUAGAUUAAAGAUCGUCGAAUGCAGAAAAGUUGAAAUGUAUGAUAUUUGGUUCAUUAACACAAAUUUCAUAGAUGAAUUUACGGUUAAAUUUCAUGCCGAAGAAACCGAGGAGAACUUGCUACGAUCGUUGGUAAUAAAUCAAAACAAAGAUACAAUAUUCUUUCCUUACAACUUCAAGUGAGUGUUACUGUCUUGUACACAUUCGGUUUCCCUUAAUUAUUAGUCGAGGUUAUAGUAAUUAAUGUAAUUGAUGAGUUAUAUGCAUGCGUGCGCAGUUUCCACUAUAUUCUCCUAGAGAUUAAGCUUGACCAGGGUCUAGUAAGCGUCUUAGACUCGAGAUGAAAAGAUCGCGAGGAAUAUGCGGACAUGUCUAAAAUGCUCGAGAAGUAAGUUGAAUCGAUCAUUAUCGCACCAUAUCGGCAACUUUGUUCAUUUCAUGAUAUCAAGUAAUUGUUUCUUUAUCUCGCAGGGUUUGGGAAGUAUUCACCGCACAAGUUUCGGGACUGCUGCGGGAUCUGCGAUGGAAAUUCCCGAAAGUAAGUACUACUAGCUAGCUAGUUCCGCGCAUCUCCCGUUGAUUCUAGCUACUUUCAUCAAUGCCAUUUAUAAAGCUUCAUUAUCAGUUUGGUUGACCUCUAUUUCUCGUAAAGUACUUGUGGCAGGAACCCGGGAAUAAUUACUGUGGAUACUACGUCUGCGAGUUCAUCUACAACGCGACGGCCAAGAAUAGGCGGGGCUACUCUAAAAGACAAUAUGAAGUGCGUAAGCAAAAAUAUUCACAAGUUUAUUUUAUUACCAUCAUUUCUGUUGAGUUUCAUUCAUAUAUAUUUAUUGACCCCCUUAUUCAAAUUAGAUGUGGGAGAUGCGGAAUGAACUCCUACCACAAGAUCGCAUGCGAGCAAUUCAAGAGGAAUUGGCUGGAUUCUUUCUUGACCACGUCAUCAAUAAAGCCGGAGAAUACCACCAUGCAUGUGGAAAUUGAGUUCAUAUGUUAGGGUAUUGUAAGAGAUUUUGCACAUUUAUAUAUAUAUAUGUAGCCAGUACUGUCGGUAAGAUAUACGAAAACUUGUUGUUCGAUCAAUCUCUCGGAGAGAAGGAGAGGUCGAUCACCUUUCUCUGUAUAUGUUCUUGACGAUCUUCUGUACUUAAUAGUUUCCUUCAUUUGCUUACUAGCUAGCUAGCGUGUCGAGUCCUCUCUAUACGUAGCGUCGACCAAGCACGGAGAUAAGAGAGGACACUUCUCUCUAUUAGCUAGUUAACACAAUAUAUGAAACCCCUAAAUUAACCCUACAAAACCCCCCAACCCCCCCUUUCAGAAAAAAACCCAGCCCCUGAAAUGCUGACACGUGGAUAGCUUUUGGUCCCGGUUGGUGACACCAACGGGGACAAAAGGCCCCCCUACCUGGGCAAGCGGCAACGGCCACGUGGAGCCCCAUCUGUCUCGGUUCCUGGGCGAACCGGGACUAAAUGGACAGGGCUUUAGUAACGAUCCUUUUGUCCCGGUUCGGAAACCGGGACAAAUGGCCCUCACGAACCGGGACGAAUGUGGUUUUCCUACUAGUGAGUUCAGCAAAAACUCCAAAACCGCGGACCCUGAUCUGUCCACUACUAUUGCCUGGUUAAUUACUUCAGUUAGCCGCAAGUGCUGCCACAUCUCCUUUGCAUGGGUGCAUGUGAAUAGCAAAUGAUGUAGGUCUUCUGCUCCUUGAUGGCAGAUCGGACAGGCUCCGUCACUACCAAUAUGUCUGUUCAUUAGUAUGGAUUUCAUGUGAAUAGCAAAUGAUGUAUGUCUGUUCAUUAGUACCUCAGGGUCUUGAUUGGUCCGAGACAACUGUCAGUUGAGACCAUUCAGAUCACUCUAACCACGUACCCUCGCGGGUACCUUCUUUUUUUUCGCGAAUACGCAAAUCUUGUGUAUCAUUGCAUUGAUAGGAGUAGAAUGAUUAUAAAUAGAGGUACAACACAUGACACGAACGCAUACAGACAUGAACAUGAUGUCCGGAACAGAGAGACAAGGGAUGCUCAACCCGAACUGAGGAUACAUCACAGCUAAACCAACCAAACCCGAACCAAGAAUGGCAAUGCCGAACCAGGAAGAAUUUCAACAUCACCUAAGCCAAAACGGGGGACACCGCGAGCGAACAAGAUAGCGCCUUCAAGAAGGAAGUCGACGCCAAGACGCCGUCGCCAUCCGGUCCGGAGGAACCAGACCUAGGGUUUCCCCUGAGCUUGAAGAGGGGCGCAGCUGAGGGCCUUGACAGCGCCUCCAAGAAGGAAAACGACAUCCGUAGACGCCGUCGCUGCUAGCAUUGGCAAGCCAAGCAAGGAUUUCUCCUUGGCCUGAGGCUGAACAAUCCCAUAGCCGCCUUAACAAGACCCACGCUUACGACCUACCUCUACCUCAACCUCUGGGGCAUUCAUGGCACUUUGCCCUACAUCUACCUCGACCACCGGGACAGAUCUCUCUCGAAAUGACUAUCGGCGACACCCAAAAACUACUGGGCUGAAACCAUCACAUUUGAGGUCGGCGACGUCGAAGGCAUCUAUGUUCUUCUGCUUAACUACUUGUUUCUCUGAACCUUUGAAUGUCUAAUGCAUAACUUCUCUGAAUAUUUUUUCAGUCUAGCAUGGUAAAUAUUUCAAUUUCAGCAAGACAUUCAUACCAUCCAUUUCAAGGCUGAUCAACUGAACACUCCUUUAUAUACGUCUUUCAUUUAUAUCUCUAACAAAUGCUCUACAAGUCUGGAGUUUCCCCCAGUAAAAAAACAAAAACUGGAACACUAGGACUAGUGCAGCUUCCAUGUGAAGAAUGUUGCAGUUACUACUGUAUAUACCAUACUACCUGCCUUGCAGAACUGUCAUGGCCAUGGUGUUCCUGGUGUUCUCGAGAUCGCUUCUCUGGCUCUUCUCUCCCAUCAUUUCGAUAAAAGCAGGCUGCACCGGCGUCGGGAGGGACAGCGACGACGCGCUUCCGUUCUCCAAGAUGGACACGACGGACGACAUGAGCGGCCUCCGGCUCGGGUCGUCCUCAACGCAGAGAAGCCCGACGUGGAUGCACAGCGAAGCCUCAUCCUGUGAGCAGCCCCCUGCCAUGGAUGGAUCCACCAGCUUCCCUGCCUUUCCUUCCCUCCACAGGCUCCAUGCCUAGAUGAAAAUAAUAAUAAUCAGAUCAACCAUUUAUAUGUAUGUGUUUUUUUUCAAAAGAUGAAUAUGAUUUGGGCAUGGCAUGGACUGAAAUGAAAAAGGCAUUGGCAGUUUUAGUUCGGGUGCUUACAUAGAUUAUGAGGCUGGGAAACUCCAUGAUGCCCUCGGUUGCGCUUACCCUGAUGCCACUCACAAUCUCCAGCAGCAGCACGCCGAAGCUGUACACGUCGGACUUGACGGAGAAGACGCCCUCCGUCGAGUACUCGGGGGCAAUGUAGCCACUGUCCACACAUUGCUUUUUCGUCAGAAUAGGUGCCACAUGCAUUUUUCUGUUAAAUGCUAACUGCUGUAUCAACUUAAAACAGAAAUACUUUUUCCUUUCAGAAAAUGCAGUCAGGUGUUGAGGUUACUCACUAUGUUCCGACGACUUUCCGGGUGUUGGCUUUCACCUGGUUGUCACCGAAGAUCUUGGCCAUGCCGAAGUCGGCGAUCUUGGGCCGCAUCUCCGCGUCCAGCAGCACGUUACUGGCCUUGAGGUCCCUGUGUAUCACCGUCAGCCUGGAGUCCUGGUGCAGGUAGAGAAGCCCCCUCGCCACGCCCUUGAUGAUGCCUAGUCGCGUCGGCCAGUCCAGCACCGCUUUCCUAGCACGGUCUGCAGAAACGAAACGUGAGAAACCAUGGCAAAAAAAAUAAAUUCAGUUACUUACUUGAGCUAUAUGAACAUUGUAUGUACCAAAGAGGAUAGCGUCGAGGCCUUUGUUGGGCAAAUACUCGUAAAUGAGCAGCUUCUCGGCCCCCUCGGUGCAGCAGCCGAGGAGGCGGACCAGGUUCCGGUGCUGCAGCUUGGCGAUCAGAAUCGCCUCGUUCUUGAACUCCUCUGCUCCCUGCUCUGAAUCCUUGCUCAGCCUCUUCACAGCGACCACCUGACCGCCGUCUAGUUUUGCCUUCCCAAUGGUAAACAGAAACAAGUAGUUGAGUGAGACCCUGAUUUUAUUUAUUUAUUUGGCCACUGAAUUUUGUGCUAAACUGACAGAACAUCCAAGUUCAGGUGACUGAUAGACAGGUAAAAGAUAGUAUACCUUGUAGACCUUGCCGAAGCCUCCGCGGCCGAUCAUGAGGGCCUUGGAGAAGUUGCCCGUGGCGGCGACGAUGUCGGCGAAUCGUAUGGACGGGAACUCGAGGUCUCCGGUGUGAUCUCCUUCACCGAUUUCGCUCGACGUGUUUGUGGUCCCCGUCCUUGUCCCGGGCAUUAGCGUCUUCUGGCUCUCGGUUUUCCUUCUCUUGUCUGUAAAAAUUGUUGUGAUGAGCAUCUUGUCUAAGAAUGAAAUGGUUGGGCAUGGCAUGUUUAGAGGUAAGAAAAUGUAACUGUGCUACCUCUGAAUCUGCAGAACCAUAGAAAUAAAAUGCAUGUCAGCAGCAGCACAGCUGCUGACACCGGCACUGCAAUCUUCACUGCAUUUCUGCUGGCCUUUCCACCUGCACAGGCAAAUACAGGGCCAAAGUUUCAUGAAACAACCAAUUUGGUCAUAGGGGCGAAUGUUUUCGGUUUGAAUUCAGAAAAUUUCAACAGAAUUCAGAAAAAGAAGUUAUAUUCGUGUUGUACCUGGCGAAGUGGAAGCAGCAGCGACGGGCACGCGGAGGUAGAGCGUCUCGCCGCCCCAGCGCGGGCCGAUCAUCUGCGCGUCGACCAGCUCCCCUGCCCACACGAUGCACCGGCUCAGUUCCCCCUUGGCGCUGCUGCUCUGCAGGUUGGCGUACGCGUACGCCUCGCACGAGCAGUUGGCGGCGCACCUCGCCGCGCACUCCUCCGCGCUCCGGUUGCCGGUGUCCAGCGAGAACUUGUCCGGCACCUUCAUGGUCGGCAUCGGCACGAAACCCACCCCCAUGCCGCCGCCGCAAGGCGGCAGCGCCUCCUUCCGCCGGCACCCCUGCUCGAACACGCCCGCGCCCCACUCCGACGCGCUCGCCGGCUCGAAGCCGUCGAGGCACCUGCACGCCGCCGGCGCCGCCGUGACGUCGCAGUACCCGUACGCGCCGCAGCGCUUGUAUGUGCUGCACCCGCUCGACGGCCACGAGAGGAGCGUGGCCCACGCCGACACGGUGCUGUUCCAGCUAAGGAGCUGAAACCUGCCGGUGCUGGUCACCACGUACCGCGUGGGCGCCGCGCCGCCGGAGAGGGUGAAGGCGAUGGAGAUCUCCUCCUCGGUGUCGACGAUCGCCGUGUAGAGCACCGUGCCGGCGCUGAGGUACAUGCUGGCGACGGCGUACCCCUUCCAGACGGGCGUGCGCCAGUAGGGCCGCGUCCCGUUCCACAUGAGCAGCUGCAGCGACGUGCCGGGGUCCAGCCCGUAGGAGAAGCUCCCCGGCGCCGGGUCGCCGGGGGAUUUCCAGGACACGAUCCGGUUGCCCUCCCCCGUCAGGUGGCUCAGCCGCACCUUCAUCCCCGGGACGAACGUGUCCGUCGGGUGGUCGAAGCUCUGCCACGCCACCGUGCCGUUCGGCGACCGGACGACCAGGUUGCCCUCGUUCGUCAGCAGGGCCGGCGGCGGCGACGAGGACGAGGAGGACGAGCCGCCCGCGCCGGGAGUCCUCCAGAGCACGCGGCCGUCGGCGUCGGACACGACGAGGCUGGAGUCGUUGGCCAACGCGAGCGUCGGGGAGCCGGCGGCCGGGGCGUCCCGGUUGCCCACCCAGACAACUGUGCGCGGGGCGGGGAUGCUGUUGUACCAUAUGCCAAGAUACCGCCUCGUCGGACCUGCGGCGUCGUCCGGGGAGAAGAAGCCGAGAGCGAACGCGCCGCCGUCCGACACGAGGGUUUGCUCCACAAGGAGCCUCUCGCCGACGGCCAGCUGGUCCUCGGCGGACGCGGACGGGAAGCAGACGGCGACGAUGAGGACGAGGACGGCGACGGAGCGUGACAGGUCCAUCGAUCAGGUUCAAGGUGCGUGCAAGCACAUUACCUCUCCGGCGACAAGGGAAGCGCGAUCAGUGAAGCUAGCCAGCUACCGCCUUGACAUUUGAUCAUUCUUGUUCUUGGCCUGCAAGGCGCGCGAUGUAGCCUAGCCAGCCACACGGUGACGCGAGCUUGUGAAUUCAUAUUGACUAGUUUCAGCAUGAACCCACGGAGGUGCAGUGCACAUGGGCGCAGGUGAACUGGUCUGGUCUACUGUGUGUGCGCGUGACGCGCAAGUGCAUACCGCGACCUACCUUGUCCAACAACGACACUUGAUUCUGUGGUGUUUUGGCACGAGGGCGCGACCGAUCGGGUUGACACGGUGGAAUUGUUGACAAUGUGGGCGAAUCUCGAGGUUCUCACCGGCGGUCGGAUCUCGCUGUUCUCGCCGCCGGCAUGCCCAAGGAGGGAAGGAAGGCUGGUCGAGCGUGCCCGGGUUUUCCCGGCCGUGCUGGGCUCCUCCUUGUGUCGUUCACCUUCCCGGUCCGGAUGUGUUGUAGCCGGAUGGGAACCUUUCCCGCAUUUGGUUCAUCGACGGAACCGACGGGGGCACCGGAUUCGAUGGCAACCGCAAGGCAGUCUGUGGUGCUAGGGGUUUGCCCUUCCCAUUCGGUGUCAUCAGGGAUGGGGACGGAGUCGAUUCUGGCAGAUCUUGGAUAGGGGGUUUAGAGCUAGUAGCAUAGACGUGAUGGUAACGCAUACAACGGAUUUUACCGAGGUUCAGGCUCUCCGAGGAAAUAAAACCGUAAGUCAUGCUUAUGUUGUAUUGAUUUGGGAUGAAGUACAAAGUAUAGGUUGAUCUGGCACAUGAUCGUUGAUAUGUCUAUGUCUAGAUCUAAAGACCUAAGUUGUCAUAUCUAUCGACUAGCCCGGCCUAGGAUAACAAAAGUCCUAAUCAAUUACAUCGGUACAGAGGAGUCCACGAAUAGGAGUCCUUGUCUUAAACGAUAAGACUUCUUGAUUCUUCUAAGAUUGCCAUGGGCCGCUCAAAGUGGCUGAGGACAGAACUGACAAGGAGGUAGUCCUCGCCUGGUCUGCCCGGCGAGGAGUCGAUAUAGUGAGAGGCUCCAUGUGUGAGACACCAUCAGUAGCCCCUGAACCGGUCUUCAAGUCUGGCCACACCUCGGCUUCCCCAAGCUGCUGGUCGUCUUUGGCCGCCGGUCUUGAAACUUUCAAUGAAAACUUUCCCUGAUUAGUGCCUUCUUGCAGCCGAGUUUCGACGCGGUACUGCAUCCAAGGUGACGAAGACCACAUUGAUCUUGAAAACUUAAAGGAAUUUAGCCGAGUUGCAUGCCGGAAAACUUUCGUGCGCAGCCCGCUACUCGCAGCCGGCGUCCAUGUCGGACUCGUUUCGAAGUGGUGCGCAUCACCUCGGUCUUGAGUUGUCGAUCUAGAUGGCCGGCCUCCGCGGAAAAAGGUUUUCUGCCAAGCCGGUAUCCACGAACUGAUUUUUGGCAGAAUUUUUUUUCCAUUGGUACAGUUUAUUCUACGCCGAGAUAUAUAGCCAGUAGCCCUAAAGGUGUGCGCCGGCCUAAAUUCCGGGAUGCACCCGAAGUAUAAAAUUAAACUACUAAUCCCAAUAGACCCCGAAACUCAGGUUAAUUCACCGAAUCGGCUUGAGGAUCGUAUUUGUAGAGAAUGAUUUGGUGCAUCGAUAAUUGAUUGAUCGUGCACUAGGCACAUAUAUAUAGGUACAAGGGGUGCGACCGGUAUCUUGUCUCCUAAGAUACACGUACAUACAGAGGGAGACAGAUACUACAGGUACUGCAUACAGAACCCAGACCUACGUACAUGUACACAUGUUCAACACCCCCCCGCAGUCGAAGCGUCGCCAGUGACGCAAAGACUGGACCGAAAACCCUCGAAAGUCAAGGUGGGUAGUCCCUUCGUCAUCACAUCGGCGAACUGCUGAUCGGUGGGCACAUGUAGAACACGAACACGACCAAGUGCGACGUGCUCCCGGACGAAGUGGAUGUCGAGCUCGAUGUGCUUCGUCCGUCGGUGAUGGACAGGGUUGGCAGCGAGGUACACCGCGGAGACGUUAUCACAGUAGACGAGCGUCGCCUUGGUGACCUCACAUAGCAACUCCUGGAGGAGCUGUCGUAGCUAGGAACACUCCGCGGCGGCGUUGGCCACGGCCCGAUACUCGGCCUCGGCGCUCGAUCGUGAGACCGUGGGUUGUCGUUUAGACGACGACGAGAUCAGAGAGGGCCCGAGGUAGACGCAGUAGCCGGAAGUGGAGCGUCGAGUGUCGGGACACCCAGCCCAGUCGGCGUCAGAGUAGGCGACAAGGCUGGUGUCAGGCGAGGCCGUCAGGGUGAGACCCAUGGCUGUGGUGCCACGUAUGUACUGAAGAAUACGUUUCACGAGAGCCCAAUGGGUGUCACGAGGAGCAUGCAUGUGAAGGCACACCUGCUGGACAGCAUACUGAAUGUCCGAACGCGUCAGUGUGAGAUACUGAAGCGCACCGACGAUGGAGCGGUAGAAAGGAGCGUCGGACCCCGGAGAGCCCUCGACGACGGACACCUUAGCCUUCGUAUCGACAGGCGUGGAAGCAGGCUUGCAAUUAAGCAUGCCGCGCGCUCCAGAAGCUCAUAGGCGUACUUCUGCUGGUGCAGAAAGAAACCAGUAGCCCGGCGCACUACCUCGAUGCCGAGGAAGUAGUGAAGAGCCCCCAAGUUCUUGAGGGUGAACUCGGUGCCGAGGCGAGCUGUGAUCUGCUGAAGAAGCGCUGGCGAGGACGCAGUCAGGAUGAUGUCGUCGACGUACAGGAGGAGGUACGCGGUGGCGUGGCCCUGGUGGUAGACAAACAGGGAGGCAUCGGACCGUGUGGACCGGAACCCCUGUUGCUGGAGGAAGGCCGCGAUCCGCUGGUACCAGGCCCGAGGUGCCUGCUUCAACCCGUAGAGACAACGGGAGAGCAAGCACACAUGGUCUGGAUAGUCGGUGUCGACGAAACCAGUCGGCUGCUGACAGAACACCUGCUCGUCGAGAUGGCCAUGCAAGAAAGCAUUAGACACAUCGAGCUGGUGAACAGGCCAGGCGCGAGAAACAACAAGCUGGAGAACGGCGCGAAUCGUGCCCGGUUUAACAACCGGGGCGAAGGUGUCGGUGAAGUCCACGCCAGCGCGCUGGCGAAAACCACGCACCACCCAACGCGCCUUGUAGCGCUCGAGAGAACCGUCGGGACGAGUCUUGUGGCGGAAGACCCACUUGCCAGUGAUGACAUUGGCACGGGGUGGCUGCGGGACAAGCUGCCACGUACGGUUGCGCUGCAGGGCGUCAAACUCCUCGCGCAUCGCAGCUAGCCAGUUCGGAUCCCGAAGGGUUGCGCGAGCGGAGGUGGGGAGCGGUGACGACAUCGAGGUAGAAGCCGCGCAUGCGUACUCGUCCGACGGGUAGCGCGUGCUGGGACGCAGGGUCCCAGUCCGAGCCCGAGUGACCACACCGGGGAGGGGUGCAGCCGUGGCGACGNNNNNNNNNNNNNNNNNNNNNNNNNNNNNNNNNNNNNNNNNNNNNNNNNNNNNNNNNNNNNNNNNNNNNNNNNNNNNNNNNNNNNNNNNNNNNNNNNNNNNNNNNNNNNNNNNNNNNNNNNNNNNNNNNNNNNNNNNNNNNNNNNNNNNNNNNNNNNNNNNNNNNNNNNNNNNNNNNNNNNNNNNNNNNNNNNNNNNNNNNNNNNNNNNNNNNNNNNNNNNNNNNNNNNNNNNNNNNNNNNNNNNNNNNNNNNNNNNNNNNNNNNNNNNNNNNNNNNNNNNNNNNNNNNNNNNNNNNNNNNNNNNNNNNNNNNNNNNNNNNNNNNNNNNNNNNNNNNNNNNNNNNNNNNNNNNNNNNNNNNNNNNNNNNNNNNNNNNNNNNNNNNNNNNNNNNNNNNNNNNNNNNNNNNNNNNNGGGGGCCGCGACGGGGGCCGCGGGGGCGGCCGAGGAGGCCGCUGCGUCGGGGGCCGCGACAGGGGCCGCCGGCGCAGGGAGCGCGGGCAGGGCCGGACCCGGGGCGCGGCUGGGCGGUCCGCCAAAGGUGGAGGCAGGGGCGAACCGCGCCGCAGGAGACGCCGAAGGUGAUGGUACCUGCUGAAACGGGAACACGAGCUCAUCAAAGUACACAUGCCGCGAAGUGAAAACGCGGUGGGAGACUGGAUCAUAGCACCGGUAACCUUUGGUGUUGGGAGGAUAGCCAAGGAAGAUGCAAGGAAGGGACUGGGGCGCGAGUUUGUGAGGAGCAGUGGAUGCAGUGCUAGGAUAACAGAGACACCCGAAAAUGCGAAGACCAUCAUAAGAUGGAACCGCACCGAAGAGGAGCUGGUGAGGGGUGUAGUUCCAGCGGGAACGACAGGGGCGAAUGUUAAUGAGGAGGUUGGCGGUCGCGAGCGCGUCCGGCCAGAACCGAGGAGGCACAUAGGAGUGGAAGAGCAACGUGCGGACACAGUCGUUAAGCGUGCGAAGGGCGCGCUCGGCGCGACCAUUUUGCUGAGACGUGUAGGGGCAGGUGAGACGAAAGAUGGUGCCGUGGGACGCAAGUAAAUUGCGGACGGCGACGUUGUCAAAUUCCUUGCCGUUGUCAGUUUGCAAGGCGAGAAUAGGACGACCGAACUGUGUGGUGACAUAUGAAUAAAAAGUGUUGAGUGUGGCAAGAGCGUCGGACUUGCGACGGAGAGGGAAGGUCCACACAUAAUGAGUAAAAUCAUCCAAUAUCACCAGAUAGUAUAAGUAGCCCGUGUUGCUAGCAACCGGGGACGUCCAAACAUCACUAUGCAACAACUGAAACGGAAAGGUGGAAAUGUUUGUAGACUCGCUAAAGGGAAGACGAACGUGCUUGCCAAGACGGCAAGCCUCGCAAGAGUGAUCGUCGAUUUUAUUACAUGAGAAAGAAAAACUGUGAAGAAUCUGACGCAUAGCGGUGGAGUUGGGAUGACCGAGACGGGCAUGCCAAAGAUCGACACUGGCGGCGAAGGCGGCGGGGCGACGGGUGGUGGUGGCGCCGGAGGGAUGCACUGGAUAAAGCUCGUCCGGGCUAUCACAUCGGUGGAGCACCAUCCGUGUACGGGCGUCCUUCAUAGAAAAACCGAUAUCGUCAAAUUCAACAGUUAUAGGAUUCUCACGAGCAAGGCGACGAACGGAAACAAGAUUAGUGACUAAGUCAGGAGACACAAGAACAUUAGACAUAUGCAUAGGAGUAGAAGUAGAAGGAAAAGACAUAUGACCGACGUGAGUAAUGGGUAGGGAGGAACCGUUACCAACGGUGAUACAGGUGGGAGUAUGAACGGGAGUGGCAGAUGUGAGGUUACCGGGAUGAGCAGUCAUGUGAGCAGUGGCACCCGAGUCCAUGUACCAGUCACCACCGCCACCAUAGGAGCUCGGGGACGGGGCGGAGUGCAGUGCGGCGAGCAAGGUCGGGUCCCACGGCGGCGGCGCCUGAGGAGGGUAGAACCCUCCGUAGGCCGGCACGGGAGCAGCCCCGAAGGCCGGAGCGGCGGCGGCGGCGCCGUAGGAGGGCACGGUCCCAUGGGUCGGCGUGGCGAAGAGGGCCUGGUGACCCGCCGGGCGGGGCCCAAGGAUGCCCGGAGCCGGAGCCCGAGGGACCGGCAUGGAGUAGGCGUGGACGACGCCGGUCCACGGGUUGGUGCCGUACGUCCAUGGGGGAGUCACCUGCUGCUGCUGACGGCCCCCCCGGCGCCUGGUGCUGCUUGCGGCCGCUCCCGCGGUGGUUGCCGCGGCGCCCGCCACCCGGCUGCUGGGGGCCAGCGGGAGGGGCGGGAGGCGCAGGCGGGAGGGGGAAGUACCCCGGAGGCGCUGGUGGCGGCGGCUGUUGGCGCGGCGCGGGUGGGGCGGUCGGUGGAGGGGCGCCGCGGGAGGUGCCGGUGGCGAGGGCGUGGUGCUGCACACGCUUCUUGACCCCCUUCAUCCGGCGCUCCUCCAACCUCAAGUACGCCACAAACUUGGGGAAGGAGGGCUCUGGCAUCAAGGUGAGGUUAGAGGCGGCGUUGCCGAAGUCCUCGUUGAGGCAGGCGGUGAGCGUGCUGAGGAGGAGGUCGUCGUCCACCUUGGCUCCAAUGUCACGGAGCUCGUCCGCCAACGUCUUCAGGCGGCGGCAGUAGUCAUCAAUGGACUGUUCAUCCUGGUGACAAUCAAAAAAUUCCUGCUGCAAAAAAACGCGGCGCUGAAGCUGGUUGUCAGUGAAGAGGCCGUUCAGCUUGACCCACAGGGCGCGGGCGUCGUCGCCGGCACUCACGACCGUGUGGAACAAGUCCUUGGAGAUGGUGGUGAAGAACCACCGGAUGAUCGUGGCGUCGAUCGCGGUCCACUCGGCGUCGGCCACCAUGGUGCGGGAAUCCACGGUGCCAUCCACGUGAUCCACGAGAUUGUUCUCGCGGAAGAGCAGCGUGAAGUACGUCUUCCACGCGAAGUACGUGGAGUUGGAGGCGUCGAGGGUCACGGGGACGCGUGUUUGGAUGUUGAUGUCGCGGAUCUCGGCAGGGUCGACAGCGAAGGGGUUGGAGUAGGUGGAGGCGUUGGAGGACAUGGCGAUGAGAUCGUGGGGAGGGAGGCGGCGCGGCGGCAGGAGGCAGGCGGCGCGGCAGGAAGGGGCGGCGCGGCGUGGAGGCGCGCGGUGGGGAGGUGGCGCGCACGGGAGGAGGGGUGGUGGCGGCGGCUUGGGGCGGCGGCGGCGGCAGCAGGAGGUCGCGGCGGCGGCGGCGGCCCGAGGCGGCGGCUAGGGUUAGCGGAAGCUGGAGGAUCGACUUGCGAUAGAUACCAUGUAAAGAAUAAUUUGGUGCAUCGAUAAUUGAUUGAUCGUGCACUAGGCACAUAUAUAUAGGUACAAGGGGUGCGACCGGUAUCUUGUCUCCUAAGAUACACGUACAUACAGAGGGAGACAGAUACUACAGGUACUGCAUAGAGAACCCAGACCUACGUACAUGUACACAUGUUCAACAGUAUUCUUGCUUGGUAGCGCACUUUUAGGGAAAGUGCAUUGUGUGCGUGUGUGGGCAUGAUGGACGCUGCCCAAUGAUGGUGGCCCUGGGCUAGCACACAGUCCAUCUGUCAUAGACCUUCCGACCAGGUCGUCUGGUUUCGAGCCAUCCGGGAAGAUCAUCCUCGUCCUCGUGGGACGAAGACGCCGACGGUGGGCCCGAAUGGACUCUCACAUGCGGGCCAGCGCCAGCAAGGCAUCUGCGGGUGCGUCCGACACCGCCCGAUCACGGUGGCCCCGGGAGAGCCCCACGGUCCACUCGUCAUGGACCUUCCAGCCGGGUCACCCAGGUCCGAGCGGAUCGAAGGGCUCGGAGCCGCCUUGGGAGGCUCCCGCCGCAAACCAACUGGCAACGGAUGGCCAGGAGCCUUUCUUUGCCCUCGAUGAGCCCACAAAGGCGGAUACUCCAGCAUCCUUUAUAGAAGUACUAAGAAGGGAUCUCAGAUUUGGAAUGGGAUCCUAAAGUGCGAAGAGAUUCUCAACGUUGGGGUCCAGGUUCUCCAUGGGCAACGAAGAAGAUGCAAAAUACUGGCUUGUCCAAUUGCUUAAUCAAACUCCACCCUCUGCCAAGUAUCCAGACCUUUUCAUGAUUUCUUUUGAAUAUGAAAAUUUUCAUUUUUGUCAAAGACGUCUUUCAAGACAACCUCAUCAUUUGUUGCCUUCCUUAGGAACCUCACCGGGGUAGAGAAUGCCUCCUAGGAAGCUCUCCUAAUCGACCCUGCCCCGAUCCGGCUCUCUGCGGAGAGAGAUGUCAUUGACUGAGACCUUGAAGCGCCAGUUAGCUUCAUGGUUAAGUAUGUUGAUGCGAAACUUGUCCAUGCGCCUCCAAUCAGGUAUUUCAAGGCCCUUCGGCCUUCUUCGGUCCAACUAACAAUCAAAUUCUUUGCAAGCGGCCAGAGAUAGAUUCCCCUUGGCUAUCAACCUCCAAAACACAACAUGGGCCAGGGAAUGGUCUUCGUGCCCUUUGCGCUGAUCCUGAAGAUAUAUGCCAACCACAUUGUUCUUCUUUGCUUGCUGACCAAUUUUUUGGGCAAUCACGGGCAAUAAUGUAGGCUUGCACGAGGGCCUUCAUGGCCUUAGCUUGGGCGCUUUGGACGCAUUGUCAAUAAUCGUAGGCUUGCGUGAGGGCCUUCACGCCGACUACAUUUUAAACGACGUAUCUUUUUUCAGUAGUGUAGCCCUUUGGGAAAGAGGAAGAACUGCGAGGAGGCCAGAGUGGUUCUUAUAGUAAGAUCAAGUCAAUCCACACCAUCAACAGAAAAACCUCCUAAUCGGAGGGCCUAGUUUAGUUAAUCUCAUGUUAUAGUCCUUUUAUUUGGCCGCUCCAUGUUGAGUCCAACAUGUAACCAUAUACUAUGUUUUUUUUAGGUGAAGGAUACCAUGUUUUGUUGUUGUUUCUGUCGUGGUGCAACCUUGAUCUUUUGGCUUUAUUAAUUUAUAUAAACCAGGCGUUACUUGCGCCUUCGUUUUAAAAGAACAGCUAGCAAACCACUCCUUGACAUUUCGUCUCGGCCGGCCGUGUGAUCCAUCUUGCCCUCCAAGGCGGUGUAGCCACACGAACUUUCUGAAGUCAUAUUGACUAGCUUCAGCAUGCAUCCAGACUCCAGAGUCGCGGAGAACGACGGAUCGAUCGAAAUUUGUUUGGCCUGCAUGCAAUCGAUUCGUGCGCGAGUGCUGACGUGGUGUAGUGCAUGGCGCCAGGUGUACGAUGGAGCUAGCCUGGUGACCUGGUUGACAUUUCAUCUGGCCAGUAGGUGAUCCUUCUUGUUCUUGGCCUGCAAGGCGACGUGGCCACACACAGUGACGUGCCUUUUCUUUUUUCCUGAAACAACCAGUCGAUUUUCGUUAAAGAAACCGCCAAAUGUCCUACAAUAAAGAGAGCAAGAAGAGAAAAAUAAUAUAAUCUGCUGCUGUGGGGUACGAAAGAGUUGGAGAAGAAAGCGAGAAGCCCUCCUCUGCUGCUGUGGCCAGAUCCUGACUGAGGCGUGGAGACACAUUUUAGCCUCUGGUCUUUGGCAGUGAGCCUGUAGUAUCACCGUAGGCCUUUGCAGAGCAGUAGCUGUGUGCGUUCGCUAUUUCCUUUUCUGGCUUUAGCUAUGUUCUGGCUUUGUAAUAGCGUUGUGACGCUGCUGUCCGUCGUGAGCUACCUGAUGUAAUACACUCUGGAUUCGUUGUUUCGUUUCUACUGAAAUGGAACAGGGGCACAGCCCUUUUCUUCUAAAAAAAUAAAAAAAUAAAAUCUCUUAAAAAAGACUAUAAUAGCAUAGUUUUUCUUCUUCUGAAAUACGCAUAAGCAUGCGUAUCAAUCACUCGUAGAAAAAGAGGGUGAAAUAACCCGUCCACCAGUAUUACAUACGGGACUACUCGCGGCUCAUCCACCCAUACAACUUUUCGAAAACUAAAGGUACAUCCUCCCUAAACUUCCCCGCCGUGAUCCAAUCAGCCCCUUCUUCCAAUAUCUUGGCAAUCGCGGUCCUAAUAGAUGGGGUGACCUUCCCAACACCACGUCGUUGCGAUGCUUCCACAAUUGCCACAAGACCAAGGAUACAAACGUGUGGAGGUCUUUGCGGAGUCUGGGCCCUUGUUGGAGUGAUGUGCACCCUUCUUCCUUUCUAGACAUGUUCUAACUUCUUGUGGGCAUUCACGGGCAAUAACGUAGGCUUUGUGUGGGGGCCCUCUGCGGCCUUAGCUUGGGUGCUUUGGAUGUGUCGUUGUGGGAAUUGUGUUGAAUAUAUUUAUACAAGGUAGGUUGCAGUUGGACUUGAAUUUAAACUGUGUAUAGAAAGGGUAGUAACAAUCUCCUAAUAGGACACUUGUAUCUCUAGGCCACUUAUAUAUGUGGGGGUAGACACACGAUGUAACAUAUGCCAACAUAAUAGCACAUGCACGCAGGGGGAGCCAGCGGUAUUGUGACGGUGUCACGGGGAGGAGAUCACGUAGUCAGGCCCCGAGGAUGUAGGCAUAUUGUUGGACCUCAUUAACAAAUCUCGUUGUCAUGUUUGUUGUGAUUGCUUGAUUCUCGGAUAAUUGACUAGUGCCUCUGAUUAGUUCUAACUAUCGUGACAACCUAGCCAUCGAGAUUACCAUCCCUAAUUGUUAUGUUGACUACAUUUUUAAACAACAUUUUUUUGCAACAGUGAAGCCCUCUAGGAAAGAGGAAGAACUACUAGGAAGCAAAAGUGGUGCUUUUUUUGCGAGAAACUUUCAAUGUAUUCAUCUUCGAUCAUGGCAGUACAAAGAACAACAGGGGUAAUAAAAAACUGCAACCAUGUCCGUGGACCACCUAGCGAUGACUACAAGCACUGGAAUGAGCCGAAGGCGUGAAGCCGUCAUCGGCUCUCCCUCACCGGAGCCGGGAAAACCUUGUUGUAGUAGACAGUCGGGAUAUCGUCGAGCUAAGGCCCCAUAUGACCAGCGCACCAGAAUAGCAACCAUCGCCGAUGAAGAAAGUCGUACAUCAGAAGGAUCAAACCUAUAAACAUGUAAACAAAGACGAACCAAGAACGGAUCCAAAUAGUUCCACCGAAGACUAGCACCAACCGAAUCCCGCAAGAUCUGACGGAGACAAACCUCCACACGCCCUCCGACGGUGCUAGACGCAUCAUCGGGACGGGGAUAGAACGUGGGAGACAUUAUUCCUACUAAGGGACAUCGCCGCCACCCUACAACCCCAACCAGGACACCGAUUCUAACAAGAACGAUAAAGGGGUCCCUCCCGCCGGCGGGGGCCAAGAUCCUUUGCACCUCCAUGGCCUAGAGGCCAUGGGAGAUGGGACGGACCGGCGGCGGCGCCGACGGGAGGAGAAGAGCUUUUCUUGUGGAGGAGGAAAGAGAUCCGAUAAAUAGAGUGGUGCUUAUUUGUUUUUUGAAUAAAAGAGGGUGUUUCCCUCCGAUUUCAUUAACGAAACCAAACCAGGAGCGACCAUAUUUCCCGUUCAAACUAGUCGGGUUCGAAACAACUACAAGGUCCAAAAAUAAAAGGCAUACAUCACUACAUAGGUUUCUUAACAGCAAACAAGAUAUUACAAAGCUAAAUCGAAAGGGGAAGGCUCCUGGAACAAUACAGCUGAAAUCAGCAUCCCAGCCGCUGCACUCCAAGCCUCCAUCCUUGCGACGUCUUGUAGAUCUACUUGCGACCCGCUCGAUUAGUUUUGCUCCCAGGAUCAGUAGUUUUUGUUCUGGCUUUUUCUCUGCAAAACAGACCACUCAGGAAUCCAAUUUGCACAUAAUUCUGAUAAAGAUCAUUGGGUCAUAUUUUUUUGAUCUAAAUAUAAUAUCAUUUCUACAUUCCAGAGAUCCCAGAAUAUUGCAGAAAUCCCAACUAGGACUAGAUUUUUUUAGGUUUUCUGAAGGUUUUGAUCCAAAUAUUCAAGAAAUCACUUGAAUUUUUUUGGAGUUGUUCUAAGAUCGAAGGCACAUUUGACUAGACUCCAACACUACUGGGGAAAACCCUACAAGUAGCUCUUUUCUAGCUACCAGUAGCGUUGGUGCCCGCGCUAUCGGCGCUACAACUAUUCUUUAACAGUAGUGCUUGUUUGACCUAGCGCUACUGGUAACUUCAGAUACUAAUAGCGAUGCUUGUAAUCUUUUAGCCCGUGCCACUGCUAAAAUUUAUGUUUUUCUUUGCAUUUUGGCCCUGUACAUGUUUAAACAGUAUAUCUUUUAUAUAAUAACAACUCAUCAUGAACUAGUCUGUUUAAACAGCAUAUUCAUUACCACUAGCUAGUCAUCACCACCAAACAAAUCAUCAUGAUCAACAUCAUCAUCAUAUCAAUAAAAACUCUUGCAUCAUAUUCAUCACCGCGCCAACACUAGCUAAUAAUCAUCAUAGUCAUUACCACCAACACUAUAUAAUCAUCAGUCAUAGUCAUUACCACCAACACUAGCUAAUAAUCAUCAUAGUCAUUACCACCAACACUAUCUAAUCAUCAUAAUCAUAGUGUAGCACAUCAUCAUCACUAGCUAAGGUAAAAUAGCAUAAAACAUGUGUAGCACUCCUGCUUCAUCAUAUUGGAGAAUGCAGAUGAACUUGGCUCCUAAUUGUGGGUUGUGCUUUUGAUUGCUGCCCCCUAAUACUUCUCUGCUGCGAUCCUUCACAAUUUUGCUCCAGUCUUUGACUAUUAAGACUUGCUCGCUUUGAGAAAUCAUGAAUGCACUCAUGUGCAAUGUACGAUGUCUUGGCCGUAAGCUAAUCAUUGUCAUGCGACCUUUAGGCAUGAUCCAACGAGGCACAACAUUCAUCGGGAGUCCCUAUUGAAGAACAUCGUAGUAACAUACUUAGCAAUGAAGUUUAGCUUAAAAAAUAAUGUAUGCAAAAGAUGCACUGAGGAAAAAUAGUAAAAAUCUUACCAUCCUUCCUAAAUAUAUGUGAUCAUAGUUCAAUACGCACACUAGUGGUUGCACGUAUCGAGUACUAAUAUUUCGAAGUCCAGGAAAAUAACCUUUCUUGACGGUAUCAAGAUCCUCAAGCCAUGAAACAUAAUGACUUAUCUCCUCACAGUUUAGUUCAGCCCCGGGAAAGUAGUAGGUUAUGUCCACCAAGUCUCGUACAUGUUCUUGAAUGGAAAUAAGCUGCCAAUAAAAAUAAGCUGUCAAUAGAAACAUGUUGCUGCUUUGGGGGGCACACAACAACAAGUAGAGCAAUUUUAACAUUUAUGCAAAUGGCAUGGGCAUGUAGUAGACAUGGCAAGCUCCAAAUUACUCCAUUGGAACAAAUUGUAUAUGAGGUCUAGAUUUGAUGGAAACCAUCAAGGCAAGAUUGCAAGUUGUAACAGUUUUCAGCAGUUAACAGCAUGAAGCACUCUUGCAACAAAUAUUACAACAUUUAGACGAAUCCUAACAUGAAUGCAAAUGCCCAGUCAAAGAUGCAUAUAUAGACGUAGAUGCAUAUAUGAUGUUAACUAGUUGUCAACUAUUUUUAAAUAAACAAUAUAAAUUACUUAAUCAAUAUGGUUGAGAAACUCACGUAGAGGUAGAACUGCAGGGGUCUGCACAUCGACCCAGAUGUCGAUAUUACCUUCAAUUUCAUCUUCAGGACGAAUAUCGAAGGUGAUAAGCAUACCCGGCUUAAAUGCAUACGCCUUGCAUAGUGCUCUCCAAUUUGAGCAUUCAAAAUAGGAGUAGUUCUCUGCAUUGUAUAAUUUUACAGAAAAAACAUAGCCAUGGCCAGUAUUCAAGUGAACUCUCUUUACCUCCAUACUGCACAUAUCUGAGAAGUUAAUCGUAUCCAAGACAUACAUUCUUGCAUGGUAGGGGAUACGCUAGUAGAAUUGUAAAAAAAUAAAAUUAUAAGUUAGAGCAAAAGAAGCAGAAGUCAUGCUUAAUUAUGAAAAAAGACUUGUGUCGUUGUGACUUACUGUAUCCACUUCAAAGGUCUCAUCCAGCUUGAUGCUGAAGCACCUACCACCUACCAUGUGAGGCCUGUCGCACAGACCACACUCAUCUUUGCAGUACUCACACAUAGCGAAUUCCCUUUCGUCGUCAGACAUUUCCUAUGUUCAUAGUUGAAAUAAACGUGCAUUCAAUAAGCAAAACUAAAUCAGAAAAUAAAUUAGUAUUCAAAUUAGCAUGCAUUCAAUAAGCAAAAUUAAAUCAUCUCUUGCGUCCGUACAUCGUCGAAUAUUAUCACUAAUACAUCUCGAAUAGUAUCAUACAUAUAACAUCACUAAUAUAGCUAGAACCCUAGCGAAUGACGGGUGUAUCAGUGCGGGCGGUGGACACCCAAAGAGAAGGAACCAUCACAUGAUCAUAGCUCUAGUGAGAUCCCUGAAGAACCUGCCAGGUAUUGUCGAGCCUGCCCUCCAACGCAACCAUGUAGCGACGGACAUACUCAUCCUCCUAACUAACACAGUGAUGUACCACCUCCGCGGGGGACGAAAGCCUCCGCACCAUCAGUGGCCCACGCAACCGCCACCAAAAAAGGUUCGGGUCAACGAUGGGCUGGCUCCUCACCAAGCUGCGCCCCCGGAAGGUAGCACCUCCCAGUACCAGCCCAGCGGAGCCUAGUCCCGGACAUGGUCCCUCUGAUCAAGCAGGCCUCCUCCGCCGAGUCGACGACGAGGAUGCGGGAUAGGCAUCAUCUACGUCGAGAACAAAAUGCUUAACUAUGAAAACAAAAUUAAUAAACACUUGGCAAAAUUCGGCACGACCUUUGCUAAAAGCAGGACAUAUCGAGCGGCUUAAAUUUGUUGGAAUGUGAACGAAUCAACAUUCUGGCAAAACAUAGGCCACUCGGAAAAAUUGUAUAUAACCGGAAUAAUUUCUUUAACUAAAAAAUAACAACAAAUGUUACAUGUUCAAAAUAUGACAUGUCCACUUCAAAACGAAUCAACCUAGAAUUUUGUUAAAUACAGCUAAAACACCUAAAUUGUAUUAACUAAACCUAAUUAAAAACCUACAUUUUAAACAUGGUUCGAUCAUAACUAGGGUUCAUACUACAUUAUUCUAAGAUUAAACACAUAAAUACCUAAAUUAUAUUAACUAUACCUAAUUAAAAACCUACAUUUUGAACAUUUUUCGAUCAUAACUAGCUAGGGUUCAUACUACAUUAUUCUAAGAUUAAACACCUAAGAUUAAACACUUAAGAUCAUAACCUACUACAUUAUUCGAUUUAACCUACAUUUUUCCACUAGCUAUGGUUCAAAAUAAACUAGGGAUGAGGAGGAAGGAGGGAGAGGAGUACCUUUCGGUGGAGGACGACUGGCGCAUGGGGGGGAGGAGGGCUAGCGCGGGAGGGCAACCGGCAGGGGAGGAGGCCGNNNNNNNNNNNNNNNNNNNNNNNNNNNNNNNNNNNNNNNNNNNNNNNNNNNNNNNNNNNNNNNNNNNNNNNNNNNNNNNNNNNNNNNNNNNNNNNNNNNNNNNNNNNNNNNNNNNNNNNNNNNNNNNNNNNNNNNNNNNNNNNNNNNNNNNNNNNNNNNNNNNNNNNNNNNNNNNNNNNNNNNNNNNNNNNNNNNNNNNNNNNNNNNNNNNNNNNNNNNNNNNNNNNNNNNNNNNNNNNNNNNNNNNNNNNNNNNNNNNNNNNNNNNNNNNNNNNNNNNNNNNNNNNNNNNNNNNNNNNNNNNNNGGCUGGCGGGGGAGGAGGGCCGGUGCGGGCGAGGGCGGCCGGCGGGGGAGGAGGGCCGGCACGGGGGACGACGGCCGGAGCAAGGAGAUUGAGGGAGGAGAGUGAGUGAGUGUGAGUGUGAGUGAGUGAUCGAGUGAGGGGGGCGCGGGCUGGCGGUGGGAGGAAGAAGUGGGCUUAGUAGCAUCGCGGGUAAUGGCCCAGCGCUUCUGCUAAGCCCACUAGCUGUACCACUAGUGCACAGCCCACGCUACAGGUAAGUGGGCUAUCGUUUUGGCCCUGCGGCCCACGUAACAGCAGUGCGGCACAUACCAACCAACGCUGCUGCUAUACAGUAGCAGUAGCGCGUCUUGUAGCCAGCGCUACUGAUGUCUACUACACAACCUUCUUCUUGUAGACGUUGUUGGGCCUCCAAGUGCAGAGGUUUGUAGGACAGUAGCAAAUUUCCCUCAAGUGGAUGACCUAAGGUUUAUUAAUUCGUGGGAGGCGUAGGAUGAAGAUGGUCUCUCUCAAACAACCCUACAACCAAAUAACAAAGAGUCUCUUGUGUCCCCAACACACCCAAUACAAUGGCAAAUUGUAUAGGUGCACUAGUUCGGCGAAGAGAUGGUGAUACAUGUGCAAUAUGGAUGGUAGAUAUAGGUUUUUAUAAUCUGAAAAAGUAAAAACAGCAAGGUAUCUAGUAACAAAAGUUGGUGAAAACGGUAUUGCAAUGCUUAGAAAUAAGGCCUAGGGUUCAUACUUUCACUAGUGCAAGUUCUCUCAACAAUGAUAACAGAAUUGGAUCAUAUAACAAUCCCUCAACAUGCAACAAAGAGUCACUACAAAGUCACUAAUAGCGGAGAACAAAUGAAGAGAUUAUUGUAGGGUACAAAACCACCUCAAAGUUAUUCUUUUCGAUCAAUCCAUUGGGCUAUUACUAUAAGUGUCACAAACAGCCCUAGAGUUCAUAGUAAAAUAACACCUUAAGACACACAUCAACCAAAACCCUAAUGUCACCUAGAUACUCCAAUGUCACCACAAGUAUCCGCGGGUUUGAUUAUACGAUAUGCAUCACACAAUCUCAGAUUCAUCUAUUCAAACCAACACAAAGAACUUCAAAGAGUGCCCCAAAGUUUCUACCGGAGAGUCAAGAUGAAAACGUGUGUCAACCCCUAUGCAUAAGUUCACAAGGUCACAUAACCUGCAAGUUGAUCACCAAAACAUACAUCAAGUGGAUCACGUGAAUAUCCCAUUGUCACCACAGAUAAGCACAUGCAAGACAUUGAUGUCAACUACGCAACUUUAUUCGUGUAUACUCGUGUUGGGCCUCCAAACGCAGAGUUUUGUAGCACAGUAGGAAUUUCCCCUAAAGUGGAUGACCUAAGGUUUAUCAAUCCGUGGGAGGCGUAGGAUGAAGAUAGUCUCUCUCAAGCAACCCUGCAAUCAAAUACAAGAAAUCUCUUGUGUCCCCAACACACCCAAUACAAUGGAAAAUUGUAUAGGUGCACUAGUUCGGCGAAGAGAUGGUGAUAAAAGUGUGGUAUGGAUAGUAGAUAUGAGUUUUUGUAGUGCUAACAAUAAAAAACAGCAAGGUAGUAAAUAGUAAAACGGAGCACAAACGUUAUUGCAAUGAUGGAAAAUGAGGCCUAGGGUGCAUACUUUCACUAGUGCAAUAUCUCAACAAUGCUAACAUAGUUGGAUCAUAUGAUUAUCCCUCAAAGUGCAAUAAAGAAUCACUCCCGAGUUCCUGUUAGCGGAGAACAUAAGAUAGAAAUUGUUUGUAGGGUACGAAACCACCUCAAAGCUAUUCUUUCCGAUCAAUCUAUCCUAGAGUUCGUACUAAAAUAACACAAAGCUAUUCUUUCUGAUCAAUCUAACCAAGAGUUCGUACUAAAAUAACACCAUAUUGCACACAUCAACCAACUCUAAUGUCACCUAGAUACUCCAAUGUCACCACAAGUAUCUGUGAUUUAAUUCUAUGAUAUGCAUCAAACAACUUCAUGAUCAUAAUACUCAAUCAACACAAAGAACUACAAGGAGACCCCAAAGUUUCUACCGGAGAAAAGAUAAUAAAAACGUGCAUCAACCCCUAUGCAUAGAUUAUCCCAAAGUCACCUCUGGAAUCCGCAAGUUGAGUGCCAUAACAUAUAUCAAGUGAAUCAGAAUAAUAUCCCAUUGUCACCACGGGUAUUCAUAUGCAAGAUAUAUAUCAUGUGUUCUCAGAUCUGAACAUUCAAUCCGACAAGACAAAACUUCAAAGGGUAAAGACUCAAUUCAUCACAACAGAGUAGAGAGGGGAGAAACAUCAUAUGAUCCAUCUAUGUUAACAAAGCCCAUGAUACAUCAAGAUCGUGACAUCUCAAGAUCGCGAGAGAGAGAGAGAGAGAGAUUAAACACAUAGCUACUGGUACAAACCCUCAGCCCCGAGGGUGGACUACUCCCUCCUCAUCGUGGUGGCCGCCGGGAUGAUGAAGAUGGCAAUCAAUGAUGAUUCCCCCCUCCGGCAGGGUGCUGGAACGGGGUCCCGAUUGGUUUUCGGUGGCUACAGAGGCUUGCGGCAGCGGAACUUCCGAUCUAGGUUCUCCGUGAGGGUUUUUGGAAUAUCUGUGAAUUUAUAGGGCGAAGAGGGGGUGCGGGAGGCCACCGAGGUGGGCACAACCCACCGGGGAGCGCCUGGGGGCCCAGGCGCGCCCUGGUGGGUUGUGCCCCCCUUGGGGCACCCCUAGGUGCUGCUCUAGCCCAUUGGUAGUCUUCUGGUCCAUAAAAAAUCCAGAAAAAGUUUCAUGGUGUUUGGAGAACUUUCAUUUCUGCACAACAAAAAACAACACGGUAGUUCUGCUGAAAACAACGUCAGUCCGGGUUAGUUCCAUGCAAAUCAUACCAAAACCAUAUAGAAUUAUUGCAAACAUGACAUGAAUACUUCAUAAAUUAUAGAUACGUUGGGGACGUAUCAGACAUACAUCAAGUGUUCUCAAAUCCUUAAAUACUCAAUCUAAUAAGAUAACUUCAAAGGGAAAACUCAAUCCAUUACAAGAAGGUAGAGGGGGAGAAACAUCAUAAGAUCCAACUAUAAUAGCAAAGCUCACGGUACAUCAAGAUCGUGCCAAAUCAAGAACACGAGAGAGAGAGAGAGACAGAGAGAGACAGAGAGAGAGAGAGAGAGAGAGAGAGAGAGAGAGAGAGAUCAAACACAUAGCUACUGGUACAUACCCUCAGCCCCGAGGGUGAACUACUCCCUCCACAUCAUGGAGAGCGCCGGGAUGAUGAAGAUGGCCACCGGUGAUGAUUCCCCCCGGAAGGGUGCCGGAACAGGGUCGCAAUUGGUUUUUGGUGGCUACAGAGGCUUGCGGCGGUGGAACUCCCAAUCUUCGUUCUGUUCUGGAGGUUUGGGGAUAUAUAAGAGGUGUUGGCGUUGGGAACAAGUCAGGGGUGGUCCACGAGGCAGCCACGAGGUAGGGGGACGUGCCCAGGGGGUAGGGCGCACCCUCCACCCUCGUGGUGGCCUCGGGACUCUUCUGGUCCAUCUCCGAUGCUCCGUGGGCUUCUUAUGGUCCAAAAAUAAUCUUCGUAAAUUUUCAGGUUAUUUGGACUCCGUUUGAUAUUCCUUGGUCCAGGAAGUGUCCAAUUGUUUUCAUUAGUCAACAUAUUAUUCAAUAACAAUUCAUCUUGAUCAACAGUUCUUUCCCUGAAAACACAACCAGCACAACUAUCCAGGUGGUCUCUGGAAGCAUCGGUUAGUCCAUUAUAAAAGAUAUCAACUAUUCCAUUUUUCUUGAGAGGAUGAUCAGGCAAGGCAUUAAGUAAUUGGAGAAGCCUCCCCAAGCUUGUGGGAACUCUCUUCUUCAAUUUGCACAAAAUUAUAUAUUUCCCUUAAAGCAGCUUGUUUCUUAUGAGCGAGGAAAUAUUUAGCAGAAAAGUAAUAAAUCAUAUCUUUGGGACUACGCACACAACCAGGAUCAAGAGAAUUAAACCAUAUUUUAGCAUCACCCUUUAAUGAGAAUGGAAAUAACUUAAGGAUAUAGUAGUAACAAAUUUUUUCCUCGUGAGUGAAUAGGGUGGCUAUAUCAUUCAAUUUAGUAAGAUGUGCCACAACUGUUUCAGACUCAUAGCCAUAAAAAUGAUCAGAUUCAACCAAAGUAAUUAUCUCAGGAUCGACAAACAAAUCAUAAUCCUUAUCAGAAAUACAGAUAGGUGAAGUAGCAAAAGCAGGGUCAUAUUUCUUAAGAUCAUAUCUAUCAUUGCAAGCAAGAAAAUCUCUAGUAAUUUCUUCAUCCAUAACAUAACCCUCAGGCAUAACAGGAAAUUCAUAUCUAGGGGGAGAAUCUUCAUCAUCACUUUCAUCAGUAUUAUCAGUUCCAAUAAUUUCAUUCUCUCUAGCCCUAGCAAGUUGUUCAUCAAGAAAUUCACCUAAUGGCACAGUAUUAUCAAGCAUAGAAGUAGUUUCAUCAUAAGCAUCACGCAUAGCAGAAGUGGCAUCAUCAAUAACAUGCGACAUAUCAGAGUUAAUAGUAGAAGCAGGUUUGGGUGUCGCAAGUUUACUCAAAACAGAAGGAGAAUCAAGUGCAGAGCUAGAUGGCAGUUCCUUACCCCCCCUCGUAGUUGAGGGAUAAAUCUUGGUUUUCUCGUCUUUCAAGUUCCUCAUAGUGAUCAGCAGAUAUAAAUCCCAAGUGACUCAAAGAAUAGAGCUAUGCUCCCCAGCAACGGCGCCAGAAAAUAGUCUUGAUAACCCACAAGUAUAGGGGAUCGCAACAGUUUUCGAGGGUAGAGUAUUCAACCCAAAUUUAUUGAUUCGACACAAGGGGAGCCAAAGAAUAUUCUCAAGUAUUAGCAGUUAAGUUGUCAAUUCAAGCACACCUGAAAGACUUAAUAUCUGCAGCAAAGUAUUUAGUAGCAAAGUAGUAUGGAGGUAACGGUAACGGUGGAAAAAGUAACAGUAGCAGUUUUGUAGUAAUUGUAACAGCGGCAACGGUAAAGUAACUAAGCAAAGAUCAAUAUGUGAAAAUCUCGUAGGCAUUGGAUCAGUGAUGGAUAAUUAUGUCGGAUGCGAUUCCUCAUGCAACAGUUAUAACAUAGGGUGACACAGAACUAGCUCUAGUUCAUCAAUGUAAUGUAGGCAUGUAUUCCGAAUAUAGUCAUAUGUGCUUAUGGAAAAGAACUUGCAUGACAUCUUUUGUCCUACCCUCCCGUGGCAGCGGGGUCCUAUUGGAAACUAAGGGAUAUUAAGGCCUCCUUUUUAUAGAGUACCGGACCAAAGCAUUAACACUUAGUGAAUACAUGAACUCCUCAAACUACGGUCAUCACCGGGAGUGGUCCCGAUUAUUGUCACUUCGGGGUUGCCGGAUCAUAACACAUAGUAGGUGACUAUUGACUUGCAAGGUAGGAUCAAGAACUCACAUAUAUUCAUGAAAACAUAAUAGGUUCAGAUCUGAAAUCAUGGCACUCGGGCCCUAGUGACAAGCAUUAAGCAUAAAAAAGUCAUAGCAACAUCAAUCUUACAACAUAAUGGAUAGUAGGGAUCAAACCCUAACAAAACUAACUCGAUUACAUGGUAAAUCUCUUCCAACCCAUCACCGUCCAGCAAGCCUACAAUGGAAUUACUCACGCACGGCGGUGAGCAUCAUGAAAUUGGUGAUGGAGGAUGGUUGAUGAUGACGACAGCGACGGAUUCCCCUCUCCGGAGCCUCGAACGGACUCCAGAUCAGCCCUCCCGAGAGAGAUUAGGGCUUGGCGGCGACUCCGUAUCGUAAAAUGCGAUGAAUCCUUCUCUCUGAUUUUUUUCUCCCCGAACGUGAAUAUAUGGAGUUGGAGUUGAGGUCGGUGGAGCCUCAGGGGGCCCACGAGACAGGGGGGCGCGUCCCCUCCCUCGUGGACAGUGUGUGGGCCCCCUGGUGUUGAUUCUUUCGCUUGUAUUUUUUAUAAAUUCCAAAAAUAAUCUCCGUGAAGUUUCAGGUCAUUCCGAGAACUUUUAUUUCUGCACAAAAAUAACACCAUGGCAAUUCUGAUGAAAACAAUGUCAGUCCGGGUUAGUUCCAUUCAAAUCAUCCAAGUUAGAGUCCAAAACAAGGGCAAAAAUGUUUGGAAAAUUAGAUACGAUGGAGACGUAUCAACUCCCCCAAGCUUAAACCUUUGCUUGUCCUCAAGCAAUUCAGUGGACAAACUGAAAAUGAUAAAGAAAAACUUUUACAAACUCUGUUUGCUCUUGUUGUUGCAAAUAUGUAAAGCCAACAUUCAAGUUUUCAGCAAAGAUUAUGAACUAACCAUAUUCACAAUAACAUCUAGGUCUCAUAUUUACUCAUAUCAAUGGCAUAAUCAACUAGUGAGCAAUAAUAUUAAAUCUCGGAUGACAACACUUUCUCAAAACAAUCAUAAUAUGACAUAACAAGAUGGUAUCUCGCUAGCCUUUCUGAGACCGCAAAACAUAAAUGCAGAGCACCUCUGAAGAUCAAGGACUGACUGGACAUUGUAAUUCAUGGAAAAAGAGAUCCAGUCAUAGUUAUACUCAAUAUAAAUUAAUAGUAAUGGAUGCAAAUGACAGAGGUGCUCUCCAACAGGUGCUUUUUAAUAAGAGGAUGAUGACUCAUCAUAAAAGUAAAUAGAUAGGCCCUUCACAGAGGGAAGCGGGGAUUUGUAGAGGUGCCAGAGCUCGAGUUUUGAAAUAGAGAUAAAUAAUAUUUUGGGUGGUAUAAUUUCAUUGUCAACAUAACAACCAAGAGAUCUCGAUAUCUUCCAUGCUACACACAUUAUAGGCGGUUCCCAAACAGAAUGGUAAAGUUUAUACUCCCCCACCACCAACAAGCAUCAAUCCAUGGCUUGCCCGAAACAAAGGGUGCCUCCAACUAACAACAAUCCCGGGGGAGUAUUGUUUGCAAUUAUUUUUAUUUGAGCAUGGGACUAGGCAUCCCGGUUAGCGGCCAUUUUCUCGUGAGUGAGGAGUGGAGUCCACUCCUCGUGAGAAUAACCCACAUAGCAUGGAGGAUAUAUACAUCCCUAGUUGAUACAUGAGCUAUUUGAGCAUACAAAACAGAAUUUCAUUUGAAGGUUUAGAGUUUGGCACAUACAAAUUUACUUGGAACGGCAGGUAAAUACCGCAUAUAGGAAGGUAUGGUGGAUUCAUAUGGAAUAACUUUGGGGUUUAUGGAAGUGGAUGCACAAGCAGUAUUCCCACUUAGUACAAGUGAAGGCUAGAAAGAGACUGGGAAGCAACCAACUAGAGAGCAACAACAGUCACGAACAUGCAUUAAGAUUAAUCAACAAUGAGUGCAAGCAUGAGUAGGAUAUAAAUCACCAUGAACAUAAAUAUCGUGGAGGCUAUGUUGAUUUUGUUUCAACUACAUGCGUGAACAUGUGCCAAGUCAAGCCACUCGAAUCAUUCAAAGGACGAUGCGCCCUAUCAUACCACAUCACAACCGUUUUAGUAGCAUGUUGGCACGCAAGGUAAACCAUUAUAAACUCCUAGCUGAUUAAGCAUGGCAUGAGCAACUAUAAUCUCUAAUUGUCAUUGCAAACAUGUUUCAUUCAUAAUAGGCUGAAUCAGGAACGAUGAACUAAUCAUAUUUAAAAAAACAAGAUAGGUCGAGUUCAUACCAGCUUCUCUCAUCUCAAUCAUUUCAUCAUAUAUCGUCAUUAUUGCCUUUCACUCGCACGACCGAACGGUGUGAAUAAUAAUAAUAAUAGUGCACGUGCAUUGGACUAAGCUAGAAUCCGCAAGCAUUUAAUACAAGGGAGAAGACAAGGUAAUAUGGGCUCUUGGUUAAAUCAACAAUAAUGCAAAUGAGAUCCACUCAACAUUUUCAUCAUGGUCUUCUCCUCUCGACCCCGAAAGAAAAGAAAUAAAACUAUUUACACGGGAAAGCUCCCAACAAGCAAAAGAAGAACGAAAAAUCUUUUUGGGUUUUCUUUUAAUUACUACUACAAGCAUGGAAAGUAGACUAGCUAAUUUUUUUUGUUUUUCUUAAGGUUUUUCAAACACACAAGAAGAAGGCUUAGAAAAGAAAAUAAACUAGCAUGGAUAGUACAAUGAAAAAGUAUGAGCACCGACAACUAGAAUGAGUGUGUGAACAUGAAUGUAAUGUCGGUGAGAAAUACGUACUCCCCAAGCUUAGGCUUUUGGCCUAAGUUGGUCUAUGGCCACUGCUGGCCUAGCGGAUAUCCAAAGUUGUAACUGGGGUCGUACUGAGAUGCAGCCGCUACUACCUGCCGGACUGCAGCUUGGAGGCGAGCUGCUUCAGUCCUCCUCUCAUACUCAUUCGCCUCUUCCCUGGUUAUAACAUAUCUCCUUUUUGCCUAAAAGUCAAAGAAAGUAGGAGCAGGGAGAGCAAUAUGGACAGCGCGCUGUCUGUCAAAGAUUAGUCGGUACUGAAGGGGCUGUUCAUUCCUCUCAAUAAACUGAUGGCAAACCAUAGCAUUAUAAUCUAAAUAAACAGGAGGCAACUCUAUAUCAUUUGCAUGUAUGGGUACAUCAAGAUAGUUAGCUAAACGAGUUGCAUAAAUCCCACCAAACAAAUAUCCACUUAUACUGUUAUAAUGCAACCCUCGUGCAACAAUCGCCCCCAAGUUAUAUUGUUUAUCUCCUAAUACCGCACUUUUGAGAACACAAAGAUCUGGAACGCACAUGUGACAAGCUUCAUCUUUGCCAUUAAUGCAUCUACCUAUAAAGAGAGCAAAAUAAUGAAUGGAAGGAAAAUGAAUGCUCCCUAUGGUAGCUUGUGUGAUUUCUCGAGAUUCCCCCACAGUGAUACUAGCAAGAAAGUCUUUAUAUUCAGAUUUGCGAGGUUCCCCAAAAUUGCCCCACUGCGGGAGUUUACAAGCAGUAUUAAAAUCUUCUAGGUCCAUGGUAUAUGAUUUAUCAUAAAGAUCAAACAAAACAGUGUGAGAAUUGCGUGAGGAUGUGAAUUUGAACCUUCUCACAAAGGAAUCAGUUAGGUAGUAGUAUUGGGGGCACUUAUCUGACACAAAGCCCUCAAGUCCAGCAUUACACACAUACGCGUCAAAUUCCUCCUUAAUGCCUGCUUGAACCAUAAAAUCUUCUGAUGGCCAUUCACAAGGCCGCACUUGAGCUUCCCUCGGUGGUUCAUCAUCUGGCUCACGUAUCGCGAGCCUUGGUCCUUGCUUCCUUGAGGAACCACCUUGGUAUAUUUUCCUAUGCAUUUUUCUUUCUCUGAAAAGUUUCUGAAAUUUUUAGUGACUCAAAAUAAAAGUGAAACAAACUCAACAAGACUGAUAGCAACUAUCUCCAUAAGUGUCUGGAGGCUAUAUCAUGCAUUAAAACUACCUUGGACCAUAUAAAUUUGUCGUGCAAGUUCAAGAACAGGGUCACCACAGCAGCAAAAAUUUGCAAUAAAUAAAGCACUAGAACAAAAACUAAUUGGACCAUUGGAGGAGUUACAUACCGAAGAACAAUCCUCCAAAACGGUUUUGUGAAUGAAGCUUUGAGCAAGGAGAUCGAAAAUCGCAGCAAAACGAGCUAGAACACAAGUUUGAGCUGUGUGGUGUUUUUUUCUGGAGGAAGACGAAGUGUGUUGGUGCAGGAAUAAGUGGAGGGGGGCCACGUGGGGCCCAUGAGGCAGGGGGCGCGCCCUGGACCCUCGUGGCCAGGUGGUGCGGCCCCCUGAUGUUUUCUUAGUGCCAAAUAUUCUUAAAUAUUCUACAAAAAAAAUCAUAUUUCUUUUUCGGGACAUUUGGAGAACUUUUAUUUUCGGGGUAUUUUUUAUUUGCAAGGAUAAAUCAGAAAACUGAUAAAAAAAAUACUAUUUUUGCUUUAUUUAAUCUAAAUAACAGAAAGUAAAAGGAGGGUACAGAGAGUUGUGCUUUCUAACUUCAUCCAUCGCAUACUCAUCAAAAGGAAUCCACUAACAAGGUUGAUCAAGUCUUGUUAACAAACUCAUUCCGAAUCGCAUGAAACCAGAGAAUCUUCGGAUAGCACUAACUUACCUCAAUGGGGAGAUGCAUGUCCCCAACAAUAAGAAUAUCAUAUUUCUUCUUGACAUUAGGAAGAGGAAAUUCAAAACCUCCAAUAGUAAUCGUUGAAAAUUUUCCAAUACAAUUGAUACUGUGGACUUGAGGUUGUUUCCUCGGAAAGUGUACCGUAUGCUCGUUACCAUUAACAUGAAAAGUGACAUUGCCUUUGUUGCAAUCAAUAACAGCCCCUGCAGUAUUCAAAAAGGGUCUACCAAGGAUAAUUGACAUAUUAUCGUCCUCAAGAAUAUCAAGAAUAACAAAGUCCGUCAAAAUAGUAACAUUUGCAACCACAACAGGCACAUCCUCACAAAUACCGAUAGGUAUAGGAGUUGAUUUAUCGGCCAUUUGCGAAGAUAUUUUAGUAGGUGUCAACUUAUUCAAAUCAAGUCUACGGUAUAAAGAGAGAGGCAUAACACUAACACCGGCUCCAAGAUCACAUAAAGCAGUUUUAACAUAGUUUCUUUAAUGGAGCAUGGUAUAGUUGGUACUCCUGGAUCUCCAAGUUUCUUUGGUAUUCCACCUUUAAAAGUAUAAUUGGCAAGCAUGGUGGAAAUUUCAGCUUCCCGUAUCUUUCUUUUAUUUGUAACAAUAUCUUUCAUGUACUUAGCAUAAGGAUUCAUUUUAAGCAUAUCAGUCAAACGCAUACGCAAAAAGAUAGGUCUAAUCAUUUCAGCAAAGCGCUCAAAAUCCUCAUCAUCCUUUUUCUUGGAUGGUUUAGGAGGAAAAGGCAUGGGUUUCUGAACCCAUGGUUCUCUUUCUUUACCGUGCUUCCUAGCAACGAAGUCUCUCUUAUCAUAACGUUGAUUCUUUGAUUGUGGGUUAUCAAGAUCAACAACAGGUUCAACCUCUACAUCAUUAUUAUUGCUAGGUUGAGCAUCAACAUGAACAUCAUCAUUAACAUCAUCACUGGGUUCAUGUUCAUUACCAGAUUGUGUUUCAGCAUCAGAAAUAGAAAUAUCAUUGGGAUUCUCAGGUGUGUCAACAACAGGUUCACUAGAAGCAUGCAAAGUCCUAUCAUUUUUCUUCUUCUUCUUUUUAGAAGGACUAGGUGCAUCAACAUUAUUUCUCUGAGAAUCUUGCUCAAUUCUCUUAGGGUGGCCCUUAGGAUACAAAGGUUCCUGAGUCAUUCUACCACCUCUAGUCACAACUCUAAUAGCAUUAUCAUUUUCUUAUUAUUUAAUUCAUUGAGCAAAUCAUUUUGUGCUUUAAGCACUUGUUCUGCUUGAGUGGUAACCAUGGAAGCAUGUUUACUAAUAAGUUUAAGUUCACCUUUAACUCUAGACAUAUAAUCACUCAAGUGUUCAAUCAUAUAAGCAUUGCGUUUCAAUUGUCUACCAACAUAAGCAUUGAAGUUUUCUUGUUUAACAAUAAAAUUAUCAAACUCAUCCAAGCAUUGACUAGCAGACUUAUAACGAGGAAUAUCACCUUCAUCAAAUCUAUAGAGAGAAUUUACCUUUACUACCUGUGUCGGGUUAUCAAGACCAUGUAUUUCCUCAAUAGGCGGUAAAUUAUUAACAUCUUCAGCUUUAAUACCCUUUUCUUUCAUAGAUUUCUUUGCCUCUUGCAUAUCUUCAGGACUGAGAAAUAGAAUACCCCUUUUCUUCGGAGUUGGCUUAGGAGUUGGUUCAGGAAGUGUCCAAUUGUUUUAAUUAGUCAACAUAUUAUUCAAUAACAAUUCAUCUUGAUCAACAGUUCUUUCCCUGAAAACACAAAUAGCACAACUAUCCAGGUGGUCUCUGGAAGCAUCGGUUAGUCCAUUAUAAAAGAUAUCAAGUAUUCCAUUUUUCUUGAGAGGAUGACCAGGCAAGGCAUUAAGUAAUUGGAGAAGCCUCCCCCAAGCUUGUGGGAGACUCUCUUCUUCACUUUGCACAAAAUUAUAUAUUUCCCUUAAAGCAGCUUGUUUCUUAUGAGCGGGGAAAUAUUUAGCAGAAAAGUAAUAAAUCAUAUCCUGGGGACUACGCACACAACUAGGAUCAAGAGAAUUAAACCAUAUUUUAGCAUCACCCUUUAAUCCGAAUGGAAAUAACUUAAGGAUAUAGUAGUAACGAAUUUUUUCCUCGUGAGUGAAUAGGGUGGCUAUCAUUCAAUUUAGUAAGAUGUACCACAACUAUUUCAGAUUCAUAGCCCUAAAAAGGAUCAGAUUCAACCAAAGUAAUUAUCUCAGGAUCGACAGAGAAAUCAUAAUCCUUAUCAGAAAUACAGAUAGGUGAAGUAGCAAAAGUAGGGUCAUAUUUCAUUCUAGCAUUCAGAGAUUUUUCUUUCAGCUUAGCUAAUAAUUUCUUAAGAUCAUAUCUAUCAUUGCAAGCAAGAAAAUCUCUAGUAGUUUCUUCAUCCAUAACAUAACCCUCAGGCAUAACAGGCAAUUCAUAUCUAGGGGAGAAUCUUCAUCAUCACUUUCAUCAGUAUUAUCAGUUUCAAUAAUUUCAUUCUCUCUAGCCCUAGCAAGCUGUUCAUCAAGAAAUUCACCUAAUGGCACAGUAUUAUCAAGCAUAGAAGUAGUUUCAUCAUAAGCAUCACGCAUAGCAGAAGUGGCAUCAUCAAUAACAUGCGACAUAUCAGAAUUAAUAGCAGAAGCAGGUUUAGCUGUCGCAAGUUUACUCAAUACAGAAGGAGAAUCAAGUGCGGAGCUAGAUGGCAGUUCCUUACCCCCCCUCGUAGUUGAGGGAUAAAUCUUGGUUUUCUCGUCUUUCAAGUUCCUCAUAGUGAUCAACAGAUAUAAAUCCCAAGUGACUCAAAGAAUAGAGCUAUGCUCCCCGGCAACGGCGCCAGAAAAUAGUCUUGAUAACCCACAAGUAUAGGGGAUCGCAACAGUUUUCGAGGGUAGAGUAUUCAACCCAAAUUUAUUGAUUCAACACAAGGGGAGCCAAAGAAUAUUCUCAAGUAUUAGCAGUUGAGUUGUCAAUUCAACCAUACCUGAAAGACUUCAUAUCUGCAGCAAAGUAUUUAGUAGCAAAGUAGUAUGGAAGUAACGGUAAUAGUGGAAAAAGUAACAGUAGCAGUUUUGUAGUAAUUGUAACAGCGGCAACGGUAAAGUAACUAAGCAAAGAUCAAUAUGUGAAAAGCUCAUAGGCAUUGGAUCAGUGAUGGAUAAUUAUGUCGGAUGCGAUUCCUCAUGCAACAGUUAUAACAUAGGGUGACACAAAACUAGCUCCAGUUCAUCAAUGUAAUGUAGGCAUGUAUUCCGAAAAUAGUCAUACGUGCUUAUGGAAAAGAACUUGCAUGACAUCUUUUGUCCUACCCUCCCGUGGCAGCGGGGUCCUAUUAGAAACUAAGGGAUAUUAAGGCCUCCUUUUUAUAGAGUACCGGACCAAAGCAUUAACACUUAGUGAAUACAUGAACUCCUCAAACUAUGGUCAUCACCGGGAAUGGUCCCGAUUAUUGUCACUUCAAUGUUGCCGGGUCAUAACACAUAGUAGGUGACUGUUGACUUGCAAGAUAGGAUCAAGAACUCACAUAUAUUCAUGAAAAAAUAAUAGGUUCAGAUCUAAAAUCAUGGCACUCGGGCCCUAGUGACAAGCAUUAAGCAUAGCAAAGCCAUAGCAACAUCAAUCUUAGAACAUAAUGGAUACUAGGGAUAAAACCCUAACAAAACUAACUCAAUUACAUGGUAAAUCUCAUCCAACCCAUCACCGUCCAGCAAGCCUAUGAUGGAAUUACUCACGCACGGCGGUGAGCAUCAUGAAAUUGGUGAUGGAGGAUGGUUGAUGAUGACGACGGCGACGGAUUCCCCUCUCCGGAGCCCCGAACGGACUCCAGAUCAGCCCUCCCGAGAGAGAUUAGGGCUUGGCGGCGGCUCCAUAUCGUAAAACGCAAUGAAUCCUUCUCUCUGAUUUUUUUUCUCCCUGAAUGUGAAUAUAUGGAGUCUGAGUUGAGGUCGGUGGAGCCUCAGGGGCCCACGAGACAGGGGGGCGCGCCCCACACCCUCAUGGACAGGGUGUGGGCCCCCUGGUGUUGAUUCUUUCGCCAGUAUUUUUGUAAAUUCCAAAAAUAAUCUCCGUGAAGUUUCAGGUCAUUCAGAGAACUUUUAUUUCUGCGCAAAAAUAACACCAUGGCAAUUCUGCUGAAAACAGCGUCAGUCCGGGUUAGUUCCAUUCAAAUCAUGCAAGUUAGAGUUCAAAACAGGGGCAAAAGUGUUUGGAAAAUUAGAUACGAUGGAGACGUAUCAAGGAGAUAGUCUCACAUCAACUAGGCGUAUCAGUGGGCUAUGGAGAUGCCCAUCAAUAGAUAUCAAUGUGAGUGAGUAGGGAUUGCCAUGCAACGGAUGCACUAGAGCUAUAAGUUUAUGAAAGCUCAAAAAGAAACUAAGUGGGUGUGCAUCCAACUUGCUUGCUCAUGAAGACCUAGGGCAUUUGAGGAAGCCCAUUGUUGGAAUAUACAAGCCAAGUUCUAUAAUGAAGAAUUCCCACUAGUGUAUGAAAUUGACAAAAUAGGAGACUCUCUAUCAUGAAGAUCAUGGUGCUACUUUGAAGCACAAGUGUAGUAAAAGGAUAGUAGCAUUGUCCCUUCUCUCUUUUUCUCUCUUUUUUUGAUUGGCUUCUUUGGCCUCUUUUUUUUUAUUUUCUCACAUGGGACAAUGCUCUAAUAAUGAUGAUGAUCACACUUUUAUUUACUUACAACUCAAGAAUUACAACUCGAUACUUAGAACAAAAUAUGACUCUAUAUGAAUGCCUCCAGCGGUGUACCGGGAUGUGUAAUGAAUCAAGAGUGACAUGUAUGAAAGGAUUAUGAAAGGUGGCUUUGCCACAAAUACGAUGUCAACUACAUGAUCAUGCAAAGCAAUAUGAUAAUGAUGAUACAUGUCAUAAUAAACAGAACGGUGGAAAAUUGCAUGUUAAUAUAUCUCGGAAUGGCUAUGGAAAUGCCAUAAUAGGUAGGUAUGGUGGCUGUUUUGGGGGAGGUAUAUGGUGGGUGUAUGGUACCGGCGAAAGUUGUGUGGUACUAGAGAGGCUAGCAAUGGUGGAAGGGUGAGAGUGCAUAUAAUCCAUGGACUCAACAUUAGUCAUAAAGAACUCACAUCUUAUUGCAAAAAUUAUUAGUCAUCGAAAACAAGAACUAUGCGUAUGCUCCUAGGGAAAGGGUUGGUAGGAGUUAACCAUCGCGCGAUCCCGACCUCCACACAAAGGAUGACAAUCAAAAAAUACUUCAUGCUCCAACUUCGUUACAUAACGGUUCACCAUACGUGCAUGCUACGGGACUCACAAACCUCAACACAAGUAUUUCUCAAAUUCACAAUUACCCCACUAGCAUAAUUCUAAUAUCACUAUCUUUAUAUCUCAAAACAAUCAUAAAGAAUCAAACUUCUCAUAGUAUUCAAUGCACUUUAUAUGAAAGUUUUUAUUAUAUCCCUCUUGGAUGCCCAUCAUAUUAGGACUAAAUUCAUAACCAAAGCAAAUUACCAUGUUGUUUAAGACUCUCAAAAUAAUAUAGUGAAUCAUGAGAGUUCAUCUAUUUCUUCAAAAUAAAACCACCGCCAUGCUCUAAAAAGAUAUAAGUGAAACACUAGAGCAAAUGACAAACUACUCUGAAAGAUAGAAGUGAAGAUCAAUGAGUAGUCAAAUAAUUAUGCAACUAUGUGAAGAAUCUCUAACAUUUAAGAAUUUCAGAUCUUAAUAUUUUAUUCAAGAAGCAAGCAAAUCCUAAUAAAAUAAAAUUACGCUCCAAGCAAAACACAUAUCAUGUGGUGAAUAAAAAUGUAGCUCCAAGUAAAGUUACCGAUAAACGAAGAUGAAAGAGGGGAUGCCAUCCGGGGCAUCCCCAAGCUGAGGCUCUUGGUUGUACUUUUAUAUUACCUUGGGGUGCCUUGGGCAUCCCCAAGCUUAGGCUCUUGCCACUCCUUAUUCCAUAGUCCAUCGAAUCUUUACCCAAAACUUGAAAACUUCACAACACAAAACUCAACAGAAAACUCGUAAGCUCCGUUAGUAUAAGAAAAUAAAUCACCACUUAGGUACUGUUGUGAACUCAUUCUAAAUUCAUAUUGGUGUUGUAUCUACUGUAUUCCAACUUCUCCAUGGUUCAUACCCUCCGAUACUACUCAUAGAUUCAUCAAAAUAAGCAAACAACAGAGAAAAUAGAAUCUGUCAAAAACAGAACAGUCUGUAUUAAUCUGAGAACUUUCCAUACUUCUGUAACUCCAAAAAUUCUGAAAAUUAGGAAAAUCUAGGAAAUUUGUAUAUCAAUCUUGUGUAAAAAAUGUUGGGGAUCGUAGCAGAAUUUUAAAAUUUCCUACGCAUCACCAAGAUCCAUCUAUGGAGUAUACUAGCAAUGAGGGGAAAGGAGUGCAUCUACAUACCCUUGUAGAUCGCGAGCGGAAGCGUUCCAAUGAACGGGGUUGAUGGAGUCGUACUCGCCGUGAUCCAAAUCACCGAUGACCGAGUGCCGAACGGACGGCACCUCCGCGUUCAACACACGUACGGAGCAGCAACGUCUCCUCCUUCUUGAUCCAACAAGGGGAAAGGAGAGGUUGAUGGAGAUCCAGCAGCACGACGGCGUGGUGGUGGAUGUAGCUGGAUCUCGGCAGAGCUUCGCCAAGCUUCUACGAGAGGGAGAGGUGUUGCAGGGGAGGAGGGAGGCGCCAAAGGCUAUUGUAUUGCUGCCCUCCCUCCCCCCUUAUAUAGGACCCCUGGGAGGGGGGGCGCCGGCCAAGANNNNNNNNNNNNNNNNNNNNNNNNNNNNNNNNNNNNNNNNNNNNNNNNNNNNNNNNNNNNNNNNNNNNNNNNNNNNNNNNNNNNNNNNNNNNNNNNNNNNNNNNNNNNNNNNNNNNNNNNNNNNNNNNNNNNNNNNNNNNNNNNNNNNNNNNNNNNNNNNNNNNNNNNNNNNNNNNNNNNNNNNNNNNNNNNNNNNNNNNNNNNNNNNNNNNNNNNNNNNNNNNNNNNNNNNNCCCCCCAAGUCAAGUGCGGCGCCCCCCCACCCUAGGGUUUCCAACCCUAGGCGCAGGGGGGAGGCCCAUGGGGGGCGCCCCAGCCCACUAAGAGAUGGUUCCCUUCCCACAUCAGCCCAUGGGGCCCUCCGGGAUAGGUGGCCCCACCCGGUGGACCCCCGGGACCCUUUCGGUGGUCCCGGUACAAUACCGAUAACCCCCGAAACUUUCCCGGUGGCCGAAACUGGACUUCCUAUAUAUAAUUCUUCACCUCCGGACCAUUCCGGAACUCCUCGUGACGUCCGAGAUCUCAUCCGGGACUCCGAACAACUUUCGGGUUUCCGCAUACUAAUAUCUCUACAACCCUAGCGUCACCGAACCUUAAGUGUGUAGACCCUACGGGUUCGGGAGACAUGCAGACAUGACCGAGACGCCUCUCCGGUCAAUAACCAACAGCGGGAUCUGGAUACCCAUGUUGGCUCCCACAUGUUCCACGAUGAUCUCAUCGGAUGAAACACGAUGUCGAGGAUUCAAUCAAUCCCGUAUACAAUUCCCUUUGUCAAUCGGUAUGUUACUUGCGCGAGAUUCGAUCGUCGGUAUCCCAAUACCUUGUUCAAUCUCGUUACCGGCAAGUCUCUUUACUCGUACCGCAAUGCAUGAUCCCGUGGCUAACUCCUUAGUCACAUUGAGCUCAUUAUGAUGAUGCAUUACCGAGUGGGCCCAGAGAUACCUCUCCGUCAUACGGAGUGACAAAUCCCAGUCUCGAUCCGUGCCAACCCAACAAACACUUUCGGAGAUACCCGUAGUGUACCUUUAUAGUCACCCAGUUACGUUGUGACGUUUGGCACACCCAAAGUACUCCUAUGGUAUCCGGGAGUUGCACGAUCUCAUGGUCUAAGGAGAAGAUACUUGACAUUGGAAAAGCUCUAGCAAACGAACUACACGAUCUUUGAGCUAUGCUUAGGAUUGGGUCUUGUCCAUCACAUCAUUCUCAUAAUGAUGUGAUCCCGUUAUCAAUGACAUCCAAUGUCCAUAGUCAGGAAACCAUGACCAUCUGUUGAUCAACGAGCUAGUCAACUAGAGGCUUACUAGGGACACGUUGUGGUCUAUGUAUUCACACAUGCAUUACGAUUUCCGGAUAACACAAUUAUAGCAUGAACAAUAGAUAAUUACCAUGAACAAAGAAAUAUAAUAAUAACCAUUUAUUAUUGCCUCUAGGGCAUAUUUCCAACAAAAAAUUCAUAUAAAAAUCAUGUUCCAGUUAAUUUUAAAAUUUCCUGGACUGAGCGCAAAAGUUUCUGUUUUUACACAGAAUCAAGUCAACUAUCAUCCACACUAUCCCAAAGGCUUUACUUGGCACUUUAUUGAAACAAAAGCUAUAAAACAUGAUUACUACAGUAGCAUAAUCAUGUGGAAACACAAAAAUAGGAAGGGUAAAUAUUGGGUUGUCUCCCAACAAGCGCUUUUCUUUAAUGCCUUUUUAGCUAGGCAUGAUGAUUUCAAUGAUGCCCGCAUAAAAGAUAAGAAUUGAAACAUAAUGGGAGCUUCAUGAAGCAUAUGACUAACACAUUUAAGUCUAACCCACUUCUUAUGCAUAGGGAUUUUGUGAGCGAACAACUUAUGGGAACAAGAAUAAACUAGCAUAGGAAGGCAAAACAAGCAUAACUUCAAGAUUUUCAACACAAUGAGAGGAAACUUGAUAUUAUUGUAACUCCUACAAGCAUAUAUCCUCCCUCAUAAUAAUUUUCAGUACCACCAUGAAUGAAUUCAACAAUAUAUCUACCACAUAAAGCAUUAUUUUCAUGAUGCAUAAGCAUAUAAUUUUUAUUACUCUCCUCAUAAGCAAUUUUUUUCUCAUGAAUAGUAGAGGGAGCAAACUCAACAAAAUAACUAUCAUGUGAGGCAUAAUCCAAUUGAAAAUUAAAAUCAAGAUGACAAAUUUCAUGGUUAUCAUUAUUCUUUAUAGCAUACAUGUCAUCACAAUAAUCAUCAUAGAUAGCAACUUUGUUCUCAUAAUUAAUUGGAACCUCUUCCGAAAUAGUGGAUUCAUCACUAAAUAAAGUCAUGAACUCUCCAAAUCCACUUUAAUAAUUAUCACAAUAAGUUUCAACACCCUCCAAAAUAGUGGGAUCAUUACUUCCUAAAGUUGACACUCUUCCAAACCCACUUUCAUCCAUAUAAUCAUCAUAGAUAGGAGGCAUGCUUUCAUCAUAAUAAAUUUGCUCAUCAAAACUUGGGGGACAAAAAAUAUCAUCUUCAUCAAACAUAGCAUCCCCAAGCUUGUGGCUUUGCAUAUCAUUAGCAUCAAGGAUAUUCAAGGAAUUCAUACUAACGACAUUGCAAUCAUACUCAUCAUUCAAAGAUUUUAUGCCAAACAAUUUAUUGCAUUCUUCCUCUAACACUUUGACACAAUUAUCGGAAUCCUUAUUUUCACGAAAGACAUUAAAAAGAUGAAGCAUAUGAGGCAACCUCAAUUUCAUUUUUUGCAGUUUUCUUUUAUAGACUAAUCUAGUGAUAAAACAAGAAACUAAAAGAUUCGAUUGCAAGAUCUAAAGAUAUACCUUCAAGCACUAACCUCCCCGGCAACGGCGCCAGAAAAGAGCUUGAUGUCGACUACACAACCUUCUUCUUGCAGACGUUGUUGGGCCUCCAAGUGCAUAGGUUUGUAGGACGGUAGCAAAUAUCCUUCAAGUGGAUGACCUAAGGUUUAUCAAUCAGUGGGAGGCGUAGGAUGAAGAUGAUCUCUCUCAAACAACCCUGCAACCAAAUAAUAAAGAGUCUCUUGUGUCCCCAACACACCUAAUACAAUGGCAAAUUGUAUAGGUGCACUAGUUCGGCGAAGAGAUGGUGAUACAUGUGCAAUAUUGAUGGUAGAUAUAUGUUUUUAUAAUCUGAAAAUAUAAAAACAGCAAGGUAACUAGUAACAAAAGUUGGUGAAAACGGUAUUGCAAUGCUUAGAAACAAGGCCUAGGGUUCAUACUUUCACUAGUGCAAGUUCUCUCAACAAUGAUAACAUAAUUGGAUCAUAUAACAAUCCAUCAACAUGCAACCAAGAGUCACUCCAAAGUCACUAAUAGCGGAGAACAAACGAAGAGAUUAUUAUAGGGUACGAAACCACCUCAAAGUUAUUCUUUCCGAUCAAUCCAUUGGGCUAUUCCUAUAAGUGUCACAAACAGCCCUAGAGUUCAUAGUAAAAUAACACCUUAAGACACACAUCAACCAAAACCCUAAUGUCACCUAGAUACUCCAAUGUCACCACAAGUAUCCGCGGUUUGAUUAUACGAUAUGCAUCACACGAUCUCAGAUUCAUCUAUUCAAACCAACACAAAGAACUUCAAAGAGUGCCCCAAAGUUUCUACCGGAGAGUCAAGACGAAAACGUGUGCCAACCCCUAUGCAUAAGUUCACAAGGUCACAGGACCCGCAAGUUGAUCUACAAAAGAUACAUCAAGUAGAUCAUGUGAAUAUCCCAUUGUCACCACAGAUAAGCACAUGCAAGACAUACAUCAAGUGUUCUCAAAUCCUUAAAGACUCAAUCCGAUAAGAUAACUUCAAAGGGAAAACUCAAUCCAUUACAAGAAGGUAGAGGGGGAGAAACAUCAUAAGAUCCAACUAUAAUAGCAAUGCUCGCGGUAUAUCAAGAUCGUGCCAAAUCAAGAACACGAGAGAGAGAGAGAGAGAGAGAGAGAGAGAGAGAGAGAUCAAACACAUAGCUACUGGUACAUGCCCUCAGCCCCGAGGGUGAACUACUCCCUCCUCGCCAUAGAGAGAACCGGGAUGAUGAAGAUGGUCACCGGUGAUGAUUCCCCCCUUCGGAAGGGUGCCGGAACAGGGUCCCGAUUGGUUUUUGGUGGCUACAGAGGCUUGUGGUGGCGGAACUCCCGAUCUUCGUUCUGUUAUAGAGGUUUGGAGAUAUAUAAGAGGUGUUGGCGUCGGGAACAAGUCAGGGGGGGUCCACGAGGCAGCCACGAGGUAGGGGGGCGCGCCCAGGGGGUAGGGCGCGCCCUCCAGCCUCGUGGUGGCCUCGGGACUCUUCUGGUCCAUCUCCGAUGCUCCGUGGGCUUAUUCUGGUCCAAAAAUAAUCUCCGUAAAUUUUCAGGUCAAUUGGACUCCGUUUGAUAUUCCUUUUCUGUGAUACUCAAAAACAAGGAAAAAACAGAAACUGGCACUGGGCUCUAGGUUAAUAGGUUAGUCCCAAAAAUCAUAUAAAAUAGCAUAUAAAUGCAUAUAAAACAUCCAAGAUGGAUAAUAUAAUAGCAUGGAACAAUAAAAAAUUAUAGAUACGUUGGAGACGUAUCAGCUACUGGUACAUACCAGUGGCGUGGGGUCCCAAACAGGUGCUACUACUAAACUUCUAUGUAUACGCAUUUUCCUAGUAGUGGAUCAGUCUAGCCGCAGAACAUUCAAAGAAUAGGUGGUCAAUGUUUUAUCUUGUCCACAGUAUACGCAUUCUUUCCCUCCCCUCGAUCCUUUUUUAAUCAAGUUGUCUUUGGUCAAGAUGCUUCUUCGACCAAAUAACUUAAAAAAAAAUCUUAUCUUGGCUGGCACUUUUAUUUUCCACAUGAAUUUAUGUGGGAAGCCAACUUCAUUUUUGAUUAAAAAAGAGUAUAGAGAUUUCACAUAAAAUUUCUUAUCCUUAGUGAGCAUCCAGAGUGGUUGAUCUUUCCCACUAUACAUCCUCACCUCAUUUAGCUUUCAAACUCCUCCAUAGCUCUGUUGUUUCUCCAGUCAAAGUACGUCUAACAGUAAACCCCCGCCAUCCUCUAUUGAUGGCCUCCGCAACCGAAAUGUUAUGAUCAAAGCUAAUGUUGUAUAAUCUGGGGUAUAGGUCUUUUAAUGGUUUAGACCCUACCCACCAGUCUUGGCAAAACCUAGUCUCUUUUACUUUCCCCAGUUUCUUUUUGAUAUGUUGGAAGUAUAUUUUUUCACCCCCAUCAAACUGCACCAGAAUUGGGAAUCUCCAAGUUUUUUCUCUACCCCGGAUAGGCAUUUAUUUUGAACAUAUUUGUUAAUCAAUAUGUCAACCCAAGUCCCAGUUUCAGUUUCCAUUUUCCAUAGCCAUUUUCCCUAGGCCUCCUUGUUCUUUUGGUAGGCAACAGGUUUUCCACUAAAUGGUAUUUCUUCUUGUUUUCAUUUUCUUGCCAUACUAGUCUAGCUCUAAAGAAACCAGCCUUCUUCCUUAUCCCAAUAGGCAGUGGGUAGGAAGACAUCAUAAGGGGGAUAUUGGUUAGGCAGGCCUGUACAAGAGUCACCCUUCCAGCCAUAUUCAAUAACCUGCCUUGCCAACAUGCACACAUUUUUUCAAUUUUAUCAGUAACCCCUUUCCAAAAUUUAUUUCCCAGUCUAACAUCAGCCACUGGCGGUCCUAGGUAUUUGAGGGGCAUUUUUCCUACCUCACAAGUAAAAAUUUCCUGAUAGAUAUCACUUUUGUUCACAGCUUCCCCAAAUAAGAAAAUUUCACUCUUAUGAGAAUUUAUAGUCAGCCCAGACAUUUGUUCAAAUGCUGUGAAAAUGAAUUUUAAGUUUUUGGCACUUUCUUCAUCAUCUUGUAAGAGGAAGAUAGUAUCGUCAUCAUAUUGUAGCAUGUUAAUCUCACAGUUGUUAUGUUCUGAAAGCACCCCUUUAACAAUCCCUCAUGCUUAGCCUUGUCCAAUAUAAUGGCUAGGGCAUCAGCAGCUAUAUCAAACAGCAUGGGAGAUAGAGAAUUCCCCUGCCUGAGACCUUUGAAGGUUUUGAAAUAUGGGCCAAUGACAUCAUUGACUUUGACACCCACAUGACCUCCAACCAUAGUGUGCAUCACUAGGUCACACCAUUGGUCAGGGAAGUUUUUUAGUUUCAUCAUUUUAUAGACAAAAGGCCACUUGAUUUUAUCAUAUGCCUUCUCAAAAUCCACCUUGAAAAGCAAAGCACUCUGCUUCUUCUUGUGUAUUGUAUUUAGGGCCUCAUGCAACACCACCACCCUUUCCAUUAUAUAUCUCCCUUUUAUAAAUACUGUCUGAUUUGGGGAUAUAACAAGUUUUAUGACCUUACUAAGCCCGUUCAUCAGAACUUUGGUUAUAAUUUUAGAGCUUACAUUAAGGAGGCAAAUCAGCCUAAAUUUCUGUAUUUGCUUAGCAUCCUUAACCUUGGGCACCAGGGUAACAAUCCCAUAGUUUAAUCUUGUGAUAUCAGAGUGGUGCUUAUAGUAAGAUAAAGGAGAUCCACGCAAUCAACAAACGAACCUCCUAAUCGCAGGGCCUGGUUUGGUUGCUUUCAUGUUAUAGUCAUUUUAUUAGGCUGCUCCGGUCCCUGUUGAGUCCAACAUGUAACCAUGUACUAUGUUCUUUUAGGUGACCCAUACUUACGUUUUUGUUGUUGUUUUUGUCGUGGUAUCAUCUUGUGGCUUUGUUAUUUAUAAACCAGGCGCUACAUGCGUCUUCGUUUUAAAAGAACAGCUAGCAAACCACUCCUUGACAUUUCGUCUGGGCCGGCCGUGUGAUCCUUCUUGGCCUCCAAGGCGGCCGGUCUAGCCACAGGUAUGAUUUUCUGAAAUCAUAUUGACUAUCUUCAGCAUGCAUGCCGACUCCAGAGUCGCGGAGGACGACGGAUUGAUUGACAUUUUAUGGCCUGCAUGGUGCGUGAGUGCUGACGUGGUGCAGUGCAUGGCGGCAGGUGGACGAUUGAGCUAGCCUAGUGACCUGACUGACAUUUCAAUCCGGGCAUGCAGUUCGUACGUGAAUCUUCUUGCUCUUGGCCUGCAGGCGUCGUGGACACAGUGACGCGACCAUUUCUUUUCUGAAACAACCAGUCGAUUUUCAUUAAAGAAAACGCCAAAUAUCCUACAACAAAGAUAGCAAAAGGCAAAAAGAGCCUAAUAAAAAAAGACUGGAACAACAAAGUUUUGGCGAGGUAGGGAGAAUAUGCAAUUUCCCAUCACAGUUUUUCAUCCCAUACUAAUGUCUAGCGUCAUCUAGGCAUCCAAUAAGUCCAGUUAAGCACAACAGUAUAUGUAACUUGACUGAAUUUACAAUUUGGGUAAAUCGAUUUGUUGGAAGGAGGAACGGUUGGAGGAGGAAAAUGCUGGACUUAGAAGAAACAUGAAUGGCCAUUGAAUCUUAAUCCAAUACCCAGAAAAAAUCGAUUUACCAAAUAAAUAAAUAAAUCAGGCAACUUACCUAUAGCCGAUCGAUCCCGUGCCAGGAACAAAACAAGAAGAGAGAUCACCAAGAAGCGUCAGCAACAGCACGCACAGUGCAGCCUGCAGCGCACGUGGCCGUUGGCGGACUUGUCCGGUCACGCGCAAACGGCGACGAGGACUACCGCGACGGCGACGGCGCACACGGCAGAGCGUGACAUGUCCGUCGAUCGAUCAAGGUCGUGCAAGUAUGCACGCGUUUCUUGAGCGACAACUGACGAGCGAAACGACGAUAGGAGUUGAGCUAGCUAGCUGCCACCUUGACAUUUCUUCUCAAGUCCUUGUCGAGCGCCACACGACACGAGUGCCCUAUUGCCUAGUUUUAGCACAUCCACGGUCGCCGAGAGUGACGGGUCCGACAAGUUUUGGCGUGCCGGCGUAGUGCAGGCGCGCAUGGCCGCAGGUCCGGUGUUCCGUGUGCGCGUGACGCGCGAGCGAACAACUGGAGUUGAUUUCUGGCUCUUGGCACGAGCUUGCGACCGAGUUGACACGAGGGUGGCAGGUGAGCGAAAAGCUCCCGCUUGGAACGACGCUGAUUAUAUAUUCUCUUGUCUUGCUGACAAUGUUGCCACGAGAAACAACAUUGGCAAUUAAGUAGUAUGUCGAAAAAGGGUUCCCGCUUUGUAUACAAAGCAACCAACCGAUACAUUCAAUAAUAGGUGCUGGGACGAAAGCAGCACCGUCACACCCAAAAAAAAAAGAAGAGAAAAUACAAG
RNAcentral lists this long non-coding RNA (69753 nucleotides) under Triticum aestivum (bread wheat). RNAcentral's name for it is "long non-coding RNA (TAES_LNC009124)". Lineage: Eukaryota; Viridiplantae; Streptophyta; Magnoliopsida; Poales; Poaceae. The record is from RNAcentral.